UUAUUUUUUUGUGUGUAGCUCACAAUUGUUUUUAAUAGCCUCUUGCAGACACAUUCUACAUAUACAUGUGGACAAAAUUUUAAAAUUUUCAGACUUCCAAACAUGAGAUUUGGAAGAAAAAAACUGAAGGGCUCACGAGGUAAAUGAUGCUCUCCACUUUCUUAAUAGGCAUAUGCAUCAUGUUGUGUUUGAAUUAGUUACAGUUUUGUAACUUUUGGAAAAUCCAAAAAGACUCCAAUUUUGUGUAUUGGGCUCAAGGUGCGUGUCACCAUUUUUUGUGACUGGCCAAUCGCUUGCAAUUGGUACCUACUGAAAUCAAACAAAAACACAUAUUUGUUAGCCGUAAAACUUCAUCGUAAAUGUGGCCUGUAGGAUUGUUUAAUCUGGACAGAUCAGUUCAUGCAGUUCAUAAGAUCAAGAAAGGAUUGUAGGGGGCAUACAUAGAAGUAACUAGGCACACACAGUGAAGAGCCAAGAGGAGAUACCACAUAUCUUAUGGGACCCUUGGCUUUCGGAGAACUAGAUGCUAAUCAUCCUGAUUUGGGGACAGAUGUAGGCAGUACACAGUGACACUAGCUCUUGCCAAUUUGAGCUAGAGAAUCUAGACCAAAUAUUCAAUGUCACAAUGAUCUAGCUGGUUUUUAGCACGAAAAUUGAUGAGCGCUUAACUAUUGUGAUUGUCCAAAUAUUGCUUCCUCGCUGGAUUUCUCCAAUGGGUCAAUUGUUUUUACAGGGAAUUUUAUCAGCUGAAAUAAGCAUGUGAAUGAGUCACAUGGUAUUCCUUACAAUUAUUUCUUCCAUACUACCUCCAUUUCACAAGCGCAUACCUAGCUUAGGAGGCGCAAAAUUGAGGUAAAACUUGAUUCAGGCGAAUCAUAUAUACUUGCUUUGAUUGGAUAAAAUUAGUAUUUUAUUCUAUCUAACUGCAGGAUCAAGCAUAUAUAGUUCAGUUCCAUCAAAUAUGGCAUAGCCUUGUAAUUUAGUUAUGCAAUUGGAGCUCAUUCCAAACAGAAACACAUCAACCUAGCCCCCAAUGACUAUCAAAGGUAAACAAGCAAUUGGCCUCUCCCAGCAGCAACAAGUUAAAAACAAGCAGUCUUAAUCAAUAACCACCAAUGUAUUGCCAAUUUCAUGCCUAAACAUGGAAGCAUACAAACAAGUUAAUUCCUCCUAUCCAUAUACAUUAGCAACACUCUUNNNNNNNNNNNNNNNNNNNNNNNNNNNNNNNNNNNNNNNNNNNNNNNNNNNNNNNNNNNNNNNNNNNNNNNNNNNNNNNNNNNNNNNNNNNNNNNNNNNNNNNNNNNNNNNNNNNNNNNNNNNNNNNNNNNNNNNNNNNNNNNNNNNNNNNNNNNNNNNNNNNNNNNNNNNNNNNNNNNNNNNNNNNNNNNNNNNNNNNNNNNNNNNNNNNNNNNNNNNNNNNNNNNNNNNNNNNNNNNNNNNNNNNNNNNNNNNNNNNNNNNNNNNNNNNNNNNNNNNNNNNNNNNNNNNNNNNNUGGCCCGUAAUUGAAUUCGAAGAAGAUGGUGCAAAGAUACAAAGCUAUGGAUUUUCAUACCAAGUUCCUCAUAUAAUUAAACAUAGUAUUGUUAAGUAACUUAACACAGUACAUCUCAAUAUAUGAUAUCACCCUCCUUGCAUGAAGUUAACAACACUUGCAUGCAGCCACUACACGUCAACACCGAUCUAACAAGUAGGCAGGAACACACCAUUUAGCUAAUUAUAACCCAAGAUUAAAAUAUGAAGAAAAGGCAUGUUAAAACCGACAACACCAUCCUAAUUGAAGAGCGCGCGCGAGACCAUACCACAUAACCCUAAAUUAAACUAAGACGGGGAGACCUAAUUCAUAACCCAAUGCAUGCAUGCAUGCAUAAUCCAAUGCAUCCCCUACGGUCACAGCUUUCAUUCCCCGACGAUCACAUCACAUUCCCCGACGAGGAGGAGCUGAACCCGGACAAGAACUCCGUCGGCCACCCGCCCCCGCCACCGCUCCCGGGCCAGUACUGCUCGUGCGCUCCGACAAAGCCGCCUCCAGCGCCGCCAGCGCCCGCGCCGUGCUCCUCCAUCUUGAUCGACGCCAGCUGCGCGAGCAGCCCCGACGCCACGCCUCUCGGAAACCCGUCGGCCAGCUGUGAGCCGAUGUCGCCGUCGGCGAUGUGGUACCCGUGCAGCCCUUGCUGCAGGAACUGCGGCGGCAGGAACGGCAGGUUAUGGUGUUGGUGGUGGCUGUGGCUGUGGUACCCCUCGAGCGACGCCUCCAGUGCGGCUGCCGCGGGGAGGCCGCCUAGGUGGUGCGGCAGCGCCUGCAUGCUGGCGAUGACGUCGGCCGCGGUCGCCGCGGCGGCGCUUGUGGUGGUCGAGGUGGAGGUGGUGGAGGAGGACGACGUGGCGGCCGCGACGGCACCGCCGCCGCCCUGGCCCUGGCCCUGGCGCGACGACUUCUUGCUGGAGCGCUUGGUGUUGCGGCGGCAGCCGCCGCCGACGGGGACGUUGCGGAGGGCGCCGCCCCGCGUCCAGUAGCGGCGGCAGGCCUUGCAGAAGUGGCGCGGCUGCGAGAGCGAGUAGUUGUUGAAGUAGCAGAACUUGGUGUUGGCCGAGUCGCAGCGCGGGCACCGGAGCGUGCCGGGCUCCGGCAGCGGCACGCGGGCCAUCCGGGCGCGCUCGGUCAUCGACACUGACGGCCGCGGCGGCUGCUCACCCGGGUUACCCUGCUGUCCCGACACAACCAGCUGCAGCGAGGCCGAGGACGAUCCGGCCACCGGCGGCGCGCUUGCCGCAGUGUUGCCGGGCACGUCCGGCAGCGGCGCCAGCUGGCCGGACGACGCAGGGAUCAGCUGGUGGUGCUGGUGCUCGCUGCCGCCACCUCCUCCCAUGAAACACUGAAGAGGCUGCUGCUGCAUCUGCGCGAAUUAGAGGCCGGAUACAUUAUUUAUGACCGAAUAAACUUUAAAGCAUGGUAUAUUCAAGAACAUGCUUAGAAGGAUGCUAAAAGCAAGUCCACAAAGUGUGACCAAAUAAGAAAACUUCAAAUCAAUCAACAAGCACGGAUCACGGAGAAAAAUAACCAGCCAGUGAAAUGAUCCGAUUGUGCUGGUGUGUGUCGGCAUGUUGAAAGAAAAUGUUAAAGAAGAGAGAGAGGGUCAGCUAGUUAAUUACCUGGGCCCAACUUGGAGGGUCGAGGAAGAUCGGGAAGGAGGAGAAAACCAUGGUGAGAUGUGAUGAGGAGUUCCCCUUGUUCCUUUCGAGCAGAGAAGACAAGUGAAAGGAGAAGAGAGGAGGGGCAAAACCAAACCACGCCUUUUCCUCCCCUUGCAAGUGCUCUCCCUUUAUAAUUUAUGUGACAUUUCUUAGCAGCUAAGGGAGAAUGAGCCAGUACCCGGCAACUCUGCAAACCAGACAGAGAUCUAAAGAGAGAGCGACACUGAGCUCAGCUAUAGCUAGUGCGGAUGGAUGUCAUGGGUCAUGAGAGGGAGGGGCAACUAAAGGUGAUUGGCCAAACCCUAACAGUACGUAGGAGCGAGCUAGCUUAGUGCGAGAGGAGAAACGCCAUGCUAAGGAAACGUCCAGCACAGCAAUGGAGAGGGAGGUGAGGAGAUGAUGUGUGCUGUGUGAGAUGGAUGAGUGAAUUGAAGGCCCCUCCUCAUGCUUGCGCCCUGUAUUUAUACACCCCCGGAGGCAAAAAAAGAAGAAGAGCUGAUCAAAGCUACCGGCCGGUCUUCUUGGCCCUGACUGCUGGCCUAGUGUUUGUUAGCUAGGGGCGGGCCCCACAUGUAUUCCGAGCUGCUGGUCGAAUCAGAUUCGCCUGUGGGUGUGUACGGAUGUUUGUACUGUGCACAUGGGUAUAUUGGAGUAUAUAAUUUGGUGGUGAGACGGGACAGGUUUGGUUUGACGUGACCAUGGUGUGCCGCUUUAAUCAUGGUUUGGAUUACUUAAUUUGGAGUGCAGAACUGCAGAUGAGAUGCGUAAUGUAAAGCACACUAGAGAAUCAAGAGGGUAUCACAAAUUCACAGUGCUUAAUGUAAUGCACUCGUAAUUUAGAAUCAAGAGGAUAUGUACUCCUAAAUCCUAUAGGGAUAUAUAUAUAUAAAAUCAUAGUAAGAGUUAGCAUCACUGAGUGUUUGAUACACCGCGGGAAAAAAAGAGGAGAUAAAGCAAGAGGUUUGAGUAGAUUGUAAAACGACUUCGGAAAAAGUUCACUGAGAUUCGUGAGAUAAAAAUACUACUACUAAAAAGUUUCUGUGAAUACUGUAUUCAUAAGCUCGGUGAUUUUUACUAACAUAUACCAGGAGGUAGUACAAAAUAUACCAGGAGGAUUGCCUAAAGCAUUAUCUAUUUUUAUAUUCCCUAUAUUUUGAAGUAUAUCUCUUUUGGAGAACUAACAGUAAAACUUUGUCAUCUUUGACUAAUUACAAACAAUUUAGAUUUUCUUUGCAAAAAAUGCAUGCUAGACAUUAGAUGGCAAACCAGCGCAAAGUUCAAAUCCGAUAUACCUAAGAGAGUGAUCCCCGGUACUUAUAAUUAUCUCAACAUGCGCUCUUCCACAUCAUCGAAAUCGUUGUAACUGUUAGAUUUACUAGCUUGAUCCACUAGCAUCUUAUUUGAUUUAUUAUUUACCAGCCGGGUACCACUAGAUCCGAAUGUAUGGCCCAGAUGAAAUAAAAACAGCCUUCAUCACCCCAUUCGGGUGCUUUUGUUAUAUCACGUUGUCAUUUGGACUGAAAAACGCUGGGGCGGCUUUUCAGCGCAUGAUUCAGAAAUGCUUGCAAAAGCAUAUCAGUCGGAAUGUAGAGGCCGACAUGAAUGACAUCGCGGUCAAGUCUAGGAACGGUUCUGACCUCCUAGCAGACCUCGUCGAGACAUUUGCAAAUCCGAGCACAUUCGAAAUAAAGCUCAACCCGGCCAAGUGCACUUUUGGGAUUCCAGCCGACAAGUUACUCGGUUUCCUCAUUUCCGAACAUGGAAUCGAUGCUAACCCUGAAAAGAUUGGCGCGAUAGUUUGAAUGAAGCAACCAGAGCACCUCCACGAAGUGCAAAGACUCACGGGUUGUCUGUAGCCCUGGGCAGAUUCAUUUCACGACUCGACAAAAAAGCCCUGCCGCUUUACCGACUCAUGAAAUAAUCAGAUAAAUUCAAGUGGACGACUGAAGCACAGGCUACGUUCCGGGAACUCAAAGCUCUGCUCUCCACCAAGCCGGUGCUCGCUGCUCCAGGCAGUCGAGAGCCUUUGCUCUUGUACAUCGCAACCAUGAAUCAAGUGGUUAUAGCACCGUGCUCACUGUGGAGCGUGAGGAACAAGCAAAGCCUUCAAGACCCAGCUACUAGUUUACUACAUUUCAGAAGUCUUGACCCCUUCCAAGCAAAGAUGCCUGCACUAUCAGAAAUUGGUUUAUGGCAUCUACCUGGCUACAAAGAAAGUGGCUCGCUAUUUUCAGGAGCACUCAGUUACUUUUGUGAGGGAUGCUCCGCUGUCCGAAAUCAUGAACAACAGAGAUGCAACGGGCCGAGUGGCCAAGUGGGCUAUCGAGCUCCUCCCUUUGGACAUCAAGUUCGAAGCCAAGAAAGCUAUCAAAUCUCAACCAUUGGUGGAUUUUCUGGCCGAGUGGAUGGAACAACAGCAGCCGGCCCAGAGCCUCCCCGAGCACUCGACCAUGUUCUUCGAUGGCUCGGGGGCUAGAGUAGUCCUAAUUUAUCCUAAGGGAGACUGACUCAGCUAUCUGCUGCAGAUUCACUUUGAUUCUCCAACAGCAAAGCCGAGUGCGGGGCCCUCUUCUAUGGACUGUGAAUGGCUAUCUCACUUGGCAUCCGCCGACUGACGGUCUAUGACGACUCGGAUCUUGUGGUGAACCAAGUGAUGAAAGAAUAGGACAUCCGCACCCCGACCAUGAUAGGAUACUGCAAUGUAGUCAGGAAACUGGAGAAAAACUUCAAGGGGUUGGAGUUACACUACGUUCCCCGACUCAAGAAUCGGGUCAUUGAUGAUUUAGCCAAGAUUAGUUCCACUCGGAAGGAAGUACCUAAGAAUGUGUUCCUUGAUCAUUUGCACUCCCGGACGAUCAAAACAAAUCCCUAUGUAGAGGAGCCCCCGCAACCAGCGGACUGUCCAAUCCGACUGAAGUUGAUAUUCCGUCAGUGAUCAAUUUGGUUCACAAAGUGAUGAAGAUCAUUCCCGAGUGGACUGAGCCGUACAUAGUAUACUUGCUCAGGCAGGAACUCCCCUGAGAUGAGGUGGAGGCCCGCCAGAUUGUCCAUCGAUCGAAGGCUUGCACUGUCAUGGGUGAUCAUCUCUACAAGAAAAGUACUUCUCGCGUUGUGCAAUGCCGUGUUUCACCAGAGGAAGGGAAGCAAAUCUUGAAGUAGAUUCACUCGGGAACAUGUGGUCACCAUGCGUCCUCUCAAACACUGGUUGCCAAGGUGUCUCGGGCGGGCUUCUACUGGCCCCGCGCCAAUGAAGCAGCCAGAUACGUUGUAGAACAACGCAUCGAAUGCUAGUUCUACGCGAAUUAGUCGCACACGCUAGUAUUUGCGCUAAAGACAAUUCCCCUCACGUGGCCAUUCGUCGUCUGGGGGUUGGAUAUGAUUGGACCCCUCCGGACUGGGACCAGCGGGUUCACUCAUCUGUUGGUGCAACUGGACAAAUUCACCAAGUGGAUUGAAGUGAAGCCCAUCAACAAGUUGGACUCGGCCACAGCGGUCAAAUUCAUCAUAGAGAUAAUUUUCAGAUUUGGAGAGCAUCAUCAUUGACAACGGGUCGAACUUCGACUCGGGCGAAUACCGCGAAUUUUGCUACACACAGAGCACUCGGGUCGAUUACGCCUGCGUGGCUCACCCGCAGUGGAAUGGUCAGGCAAAGCAGGUGAAUGGCUUGAUACUCCAAGGGCUAAGCAUGUGCCUCAUGCACGACCUAGAGCAUGACAUAGGAGCAUGGGUCCCGGAGCUGCCAUCGUUCCUCUGGGUUGUGGACGACUCUGAAUCGAUCCAUGAAUCUGAUACGUCUCCAACAUAUCAAUAAUUUUUUAUUGUUCCAUGCUAUUAUAGUAUCAAUCUUGGAUGUUUUAUAUGCAAUUAUAUGCUAUUUUAUAUCAGUUUUUGGGACUAACCUAUCAGCCUAGUGCCCGGUGCCGGUUCCUGUUGUUUGCUUGCUUUUGGCUUUUUAGAAAAACAAUAUUAAAUGAAGUCCAAAUGGAAAAAAAGUUUGGAUUAAUUUUUUCUGGACCAGAGGGACCCUAGAAGGUUCAGGAGGAGGCCAGAAGAGCUAUGGGUGAGCGACAAGCUUGUAGGGCCUGCCCCUUGAGCUUGUGGGCCCCUGGUACCAUGUCUUGACCUAAUUUUGCCUCUUUAAAUUCAUGAAUAUUCCCAAACCAACAAAGCGCCACCCGAAACAAUUUUUCAGCGACUGCAAGCUUUUUUUCUUCUACUAUCCCAUCUGGAGGCCUUUUUCGUUAUUCUCUGUGGGAGGAAGAAUCAAUCACGGAGGGCUUGUACAUCGUUCUUGCUGCCUUCCGAUGAUGCGUGAGUAGUUUACCACAGACGUGUGGGUCCAUAGCUAGUAGCUAGAUGGCUUCUUCUCUCUCUUUGAUCUUCAAUACCAUGUUCUCCUCGAUGUUCUUCGAGUUCUAUCCGAUGUAAUCUUCUUUUGUGAUGUGUUUGUUGGAAUCCGAUGAAUUGUGGGUUUAUGAUCUGAAUAUUUAUGAGAAGUAAUAGAGUUUUUUCUCAACUUUAUUAUGCAUGAUUGUUAUAGCUUUGUAUUUAUCUCCGAUCUAUCUGUUUGGUUUGGCCAACUAGAUUGAUUUAUCUUCAGUGGGAGAGGUGCUUUGUGAUGGGUUCAACCUUGCGGUGCUAUAUCCCAGUGACAGAAAGGUGCCAUUAAUGGUAAAACGAUGGGGUUUAUUCAUAUUAACUGAGUUUACUUUGUCUACAUCAUGUCAUCUUGCUUAAGGCGUUACUCUGCUUUUAUUAACUUAACACCCUAGAUGCAUACUGGAUAUCGGCCGAUGAGUGGAGUAAUAGUAGUAGAUGCAGGCAGGAGUUGGUCUACUUGUCUCGACAUGAUGCCUAUAUACAUGAUCAUUGCCUUGAAUGUCGUCAUAACUAUGUGCUUUUCUAUCAAUUGCCCAACAGUAUUGUUCACCCACCCUAUGUUAUGUGUUCGAGAGAGAAGCCUGUAGUGAAAACCAUGGCCCCUGGGUUUAAUUAAUCAUAUUACAAAAAUCAAAAAUAAUUUUGCUACAAUUUUACUCUUUAUUUUGUUUUGCAAUUUAUCGAUCUACCAGUAUGAGAUUUGAUCCUUGCAAUUAACGAGUUCAAGGGGAUUGACAACCUUCUUGCCCGUGUUGGAUGCAAGUAUUUGCUUUUGUUUGUGCAAGUGUUGUUCAUGAGGCUUUGCGUGAUUCUCCUAUUGGUUCGAUAAACCUUGGUUCUCACUGAGGGAAAUACUUAUCUCUAUUGUACUGCAUCUCCCCUUCCCUUCGGAAAAAAUCCCAACGCAACUCACAAGUAGCAAGAAGAAUUUAUGGCUCCAUUGCCGGGGAGACAUCAUCAAAACCUAUCAAGUACCUUCGCACAAACUAUCAUCUACUCGCUCUACUUUUUAUUUGCCUGUGCCUCUCGUUUUCAUCUCCCAACUUCUCAUAAAAAAUAGAAAAACACAAAAAAAUGUUUGCUUGCUACCAUGUCUAAAUUUGUUAUCGCUAAGGGUGAAGAUGAGGAUGGUAAACCUCCCGAGAUGGUAACCCCCAUAAAAUUGGAUACUAAAACUUUUGUGACGGGGAGUGGGAAUAUCAUAGGAAAAAGUAUUAUUCAAGAGUUCUUCACUUGUACGGGAACAUUGGUUUGUAAUGAUAUUCAUAUUCUUAAAAGAACCAAUAGUUAUUCCCAAGCUAUUUCUGCACUCACUAUUAAACUUGGAAGAAGAUUCAUACGUACUCAUCCUACUUUGUAAGAUUGUUUUUUAUCUACCAUCAUAAACAAUCCUAAGGCUAAAAAGAUAACCACUCGUAUCCACAUGAAUGAAUUUGACAAUAUAGUGCGAGAAGCUAGAGAAACCUUUGACUUCUAUAAUGUGAAUUAUGAAUGUCCUAUGACAGAUGAAAUUUUAUAUGGUAGAGAUUUUAUGAGGAGACAUAAGUCUUGUGAUCAUCACGCUUUUGAGAAAAAUGCUAAAAAGAAAGUCCCCUCUUUACAUUUAAUCCAAAAAGUAUUUAAUGGUAUUAAUCGUCAAUAUUCUUGGAUUGUAAAAUGGAAUCAACAAUGUUUUGAAGAAGAGUGUCUUGAUAAUGCUAAAAUCCUAAUAAAUGAUGAAUUCACCAUUACCUAUGAAAAGUCUCUUGAUGACCAUGUCUCCCAAGAUGUUAAAACUGAUGAUGUGUCAAUUACUAAAGAUAACACGGUCCAUCAUUUGAGUUCUCCUAAUAGGAAGGCUAUGUAUGAAAAAAGGGAGCUGGUGAGAAGUGUUUAUGAUGAUGCUAUGUAUAAAUAAAUUAUGAAAGCUAAGGAUGACAAUACUUGAAAUAAUGCCUUACGCCUAGCUAGGGGCGUAAAACAAUAGCGCUUGUUGGGAGGCAACCCAACAAUUAUCUUUAUUUUUCCUUUUUGUUUUAUGUUUUUUGUGUGUUGACACAAUUAUGCUACUAUUAUGAUUGCAUUUUUAUGUUUUAAUUAGUGUUUGUGCCAAGUAAAGCCUUUGGGAUGAUUUGGUUGAUAGUUGACUUGAUUUUGUGAAAAAACGAAAACUUUUGCACCGAGUACUGAUAUUUUCAUAAUUCACUAGAAUGUGAUAAAUUUUGAAUUUUUUUACACGUUAUUGAUAUACAAAUUUCCCAUGUUGUCUUAAUUUUUCAGAAUUUUUUGAGUAGAAGUAUGCCAAUUGUUCAGAUCAUUACAGACUAUUCUGUUUUAAAAAAGUAUGUCUUCGUUGCAUAGUUUUCUUGUUUUAAUGAUGGGAUGGAUUAUACCAGGGGGUAUAAGUCAUGGAUAAGUUAGAAUACACAUUGGUACAGCGAGGUGCUAUACAAAUAGUUUUUAACCCCUUUUCACGACGGUGUUCAGAACCGUCUCCAAGUGAGUGACUGCGAUGGGGGGUCCUUCCCACACGACCGAGAAACCGUUGGGGAUAUGCCCUCCUGGCACACACGCUGUGCAAAAUGAGGCCAUGUGUGACUGGGGAGUGAUCAAAUAUGGUUAUAUGUACAAUAGUGCUAAAAAGAUACAAUUAUACAGGCGAAAUUGUUUCCGGUCGUAAGUAGAUCCCACACAGCCAGUCCCCGCUAAACGUUUUCAUUCGUAUGUACAUUCCACACAGUCAAUUCAAGGAAUUUGUUUCCGUUAGUUUGUACAUCCCACACAGUUAAUCCAAGAAGUAUGUUUUCAUUCGUAUAUACAUCCCACAUAGUCAAUCCAAGGAAAAUAUUUCCGUUCGCAGGUACAUCACACACAAUUUUCCCCAUUAAAUCGUUUGUGAUAGCGUUGCCAUUGCACACGAUAUUAACAAUUUUAUCGUUUGCAUUAUUGAAUGCAUCACACACGGUGUGUAGAAGAAAUUGUGUGGCAAAGGUUGUCCAUCACACACUUUUUAUGUAGUAAUCGUUUGCGCAAGGUGGCCUAACGCAAACAGUUUUCAAGACGAUGUCGUGUGUGAUUGUUCAUUGAUCCAACACGGUUUAUUCCAAGAGACUGUGUGCAUUGCCUGAGGUCAUCGCCCACGGUGUUUUCUCAGUAAUCGUUUGCAAUAGAAAAACCAAUUAGCAGGCUAAUUGCCCUAUUAUUAAUAAUCCAUUUAUUAAUCUAAUUGACAUUUUAUAUUAAGCACACAAUAUAUUUCAUUUCCAUAUUAAGGAAACGGGAUUUCAUAAUUGAAAUACAUCAGAGUACAACAUCAUAUAGCUUCAACACUCAGCUACCCCAUUACAUAACUACACCAGCACCAAGUUUCACACGCAACAUCUACAACCUUUUGAAAUUAGCAUUAUAGACGGAACAUAGACAGAUGAAUCUCAUCUGGAAAACUGCUGAAGAGAAGGAGAAUAUUGAGCCUUCAUUGAUGUUGAAGGUCUUUGCAACUUUAGUCCAGUGCUUGUGGAUGAUUGACCAUCCAUCCUUCGUCCUCUUCAGGAACACUUCAAUAUUGAAUCGUGGGUGUUGUAUGAAAACCUUCCUCGCCUCCAGACCAUACAUGUGGUUUGAGAGGUAAUUAUCAGUGAACUGCUUUGGAAAGGCCUGAAAAUAAGGAUAUGCAUAAAUAUCUUCUCUAGAUUUGAAAUGGCGCAAAGGAAUUAAAAAGACAAGGUAUAAUAGUUAGUACCAUCCUGUUUUUUGUCGCUAAUUUCUUUAUCGCAACAAUCUUUCUGAGUGUCCUGACUUGACUAAUAUUAAUGGACAACUCAUUUCCACAUAUGCAAAAAGGGUCAAGGGUCAAAACCUCUGACCGCAGGACCUGCAUGUGCAAGACCAAAUUGUUAAAAAUCUAAUAUUUAAAAACAAGAAGUGGAAAGGUGUGUUAUUAACUGCAACAGGCCUAAUAUUUAAAAACAAGCAAACAUAGUCAUUCAAACUUGUAUUGUGCAAGUCUAAUUACACUAGUUAUUAGACCUGUUUGGAUCCAUGGGUUAGAGUUAGUUUGAUCUAGUUUGGGCUCAAAUAGCCCUAAAGUAUCCAAACAUAAGGGCUAGUUUGAGCUAGUUGCGUCAAACCCACCCAAAACAACUAUCCCACCCAAGAGGUGCUGAUUGGGGAUAGUUCUCCUAGUGCAUUUAUUGUCAAUAUGACACUGUCAUCCAAACACCUCUUUGGCUAGAGUUAGUUCAGGGUUAGUCAUUGUUGAGUACCAUUGUUAUUUAGGAAACAUAGGAUAGCGUAGGAUUUAUUCUACCUUGACUUGUACUCCAAAAUGACCAUGUACUCCUAUAUAUAUGCCCACGAGGCUCAAGCAAUAUAAUCAACUAUUCCACCAAUCUCUCUCUCCCUUUUAACUAUCAUGAGCUAGAAACUAACUCUAACCUCUAGCUAACUUAGAGUAUCCAAACAGUGACAUUGUUAAAUCAAAUGGAAAGGCGUGUUCAAUGCUCCCUCCAGUCCUUUUUACUCUGCAUAUAAGAAUUGUCUAAAGUCAAACUUCAUAAAGUUUGACCCUAUUUAUAUGAAAAAAUAUCAACAUCUAGCAUGCUAAAGUGAUACAAUAUGAAAAUUUAAGUCAUGACACAUGUACUGAUAUUUAUUUCAUAUUGUGAAUGUUGGUAUUUUGUUCUAUAAAGUUGGUCAAACUUUAAGAGGCCUGACUUUAGACAAAUCUUAUAUGUGAACUAAAAAGAUUCGGAGGGAGUACAACAUGCUUAACAGCAACCAAAUAUAGUCAUUCAUAGAGCUAUUGUUAAAUUUGGUAUUGAUGAAAUUGUACUGCACAGUUCAUACUAGCACAUAUAGAACAUCACAUUGUUAAUCAUUGGAAUAAACAAGGCAUACUAGGAACAACCAAAGAUGGCAAUUGAAACUGGACAUGUGCUAACUACAAACAACUGAACAACCAUAAACCAUAGAAAUAAAUAAGGUGUAAUGCAAACAACCUAAUAUAGCAAUAAAUACUGGACAUGUUCUCACUACAAAAGGGGUUCGAGAAAACAAAUCAUGGGUUUCCUCACUUGUCACAGAUUGUCUCCUCCUCGUGGUCACCAUCGAUGAGGUCUGACUUGCCAGCUAAGGAUCCUAGGCCAGCAUCACAGAUCGUGUCCUUCAGAAAUGACAAAAGGGGCUCCAUGGUGAUGAAGGAUGGCAAAUUGUUCAUAACGAGCCGCAGGAGAUCAGCGGAAAGGCCAUCGAUGAGAUCAAUGGCUGUCGAACCCGAAGGGUUGGGGGUGGGCAACUUAACCUGUGACAUAACCCGCGUCAAGCUAUUGGUGUCGACGACCUCGAUGUUGUAGCCAGCGUCCGUGACAUGCCAGAAUACUCUGGCCCGCUGAUUGAAAGGCUCAGUCUAGGUCCAGUCAUUGUCGUCAGCUUCCUCGGCGGCCACCUCGCCGAUGUCGGGCGAAGAGGCCGCGGUUAAGCUCUUUUGGGCCAUUCGCUCCUCGAGCUCCUCGGGAAACGUAGCCGGGCUUAGGUUGCAAUGCUCUCGAGUGGGGGAGGGUGGGGAUGGGUAUCUCUGGGAAAGGGGGCGUUUCGUAGGCAUCAUCUAAGAAACUCAGUGUGCCAAGGGUAUGUAUAUCGGUGGGUAAACUGCACGGGCAGACCGGCAGAGGUUGACGAUGGAGGCAGCGCGGCGGCGACGGCGGUGACGACCUAGCUAGGUUUGGAGCGAGGGAGGGGUGGUGUGUAUGUGUGUGAGCGGGGGAUUUGGGGUGAGCGAUGGAUGUGGGGUGUGUAUGGAGUGGGUAAAGGUGGUGUUUGAGGAAAUGCCGUGGGUAAUGAAAAUUUUAUUGGGUGGGAGUAAAAUGGUGGGGCUACCGAAAAUUUGGAUCAAGGGAUUGAAGCAGAGAGGGGCGGGAGUAACGUACAUCACACACAGUUAAUACAUAAUAAUCGUGUGCUCUCAAACAGAAAAACACUCUAGCCGAGCAGAUAUUUUUGAGUUUGCGAGGGAUGGAGGCGGGAGUAAAAUGAUGGGGCUACUGAAAAUUUGGAUGUACUGAUUGAAGUAGAGCGGGAGUAACACACAUCGCACACGGUCCAGACAUACUAAUCGUGUGCUAUCAAACAGAAAAACUAUCUACGCGGAUGCGGGGAGAUAUUUUCGAGGGAGUUGAUAUUUUCGAGAGGGGGAGGGAAGCCUCGUGGAGCCCAAUCUGCUGUGAUCAUGUGGGUGACAGGGGCAGGGGCACGGCACAUGGGUAGUCCUAGGGAACCGUCUCUGUUUCAUACCCGAUCGCAGACGGUUGCUGUGUUCGACUCGUCUAUUGUUUAUAAAUUUGGCCAAAAAAGGCGCGAAAGGGCCAGAAUACGAACACACUUGCAUGUGGACCAAAUAUAUGUAUGAAAAGGGUGGUUUGAUGUUCAAAUACCCAAUGCACAACUUUGAUGUGGCACCUGUCUCACAAAGCGCAUGUUAUUAUUGCUAGCCCCCUCCCCCUCACACACACACAUACACACACACACACACACACUUCGUGUUGCCGGGAGGGGAAUCCUAGCUAUGAACGCAUGCCCCCAAAUAGCUAGGUCUGACAUCUCACUGUACCGUAACACAAAACUGAAAGGAGUACAUCAACCCCCCUCCCCCCUUUGCUUCCGUUCAAAUGUGGACCGUCUGCAGGCCCACAUAUGUGCUCUUCUUGCGUUACCAAAUCACAAAUUUGAUGUAGCACAUGUGCAUCGCAAAUUAACCAGGAAUCCCCGACCCCACGGAGGUUCAUCUAGUAUGAAGUAGUACUGUGCUCCCCCCCCCACACACACACUUUGAGUUGGUGGGAGGGGGCAUCUCACCAAGGCGUAUUGUAAGACUAACUAAGAAGAUUCACCACUUUGACCGUAUAACCUCUUGUUUGUUGGGUCAAAGUCAUGCAUUGACAUUCCACCACGGCCCCACAAAAUAGGCUAGUUUGCCGCCGGCAACCACGCGAGGGAGUGCCUUAAGACAACCACUGCGUGCAUGUGGCCCAGACAUAUGUAUGAAGUGUCAUGUGGUGUUUGAAUAUACCCAAUGCACAACUUUGAUGUGGCCGCGUGCUUUUGGAACCGGAAAGUCCCCACACAGAGCGAGGGUUCACGACACAUAGUAUACUAUAUAUAUAGGGAUUCAUGUGUAUGCGAGCCCUCAAACUUAGGUCUAGAAUCUCACCAUGAUCCACGUACGAUUAUACGGUAACGCGAACCAAGAGAAGAAGAAUCCACCCUGGUAACCUCUCUCGCAUUGUUGGCCGAAGUGAUGAACGUCCACGUGGGCCCAUGAAUAUAUAGGUCGUCAAUGAUAACCAAGCAAGGGAGAGUGUCCAAAGACAACCACUACAUGUAUAUAUGUGCCCCAAACAUAUGUAUGGACAUGCGUGAUGCAUGCAUAUAUGUUUGAAUACUAACAGCACAACAUUUUGAUGUGGCGCAUGCAUGCGUCGAAAAACACAUAGUCCCCACACAGAUCUGGUUCAUGAUGCGUCGCGUGCUCACCCCCCCCCCCCACUUCGACCCAGUGGGAGGGAUUCAUGCGUACACAUGCAUGCAAAGUAUAUAGUUGCAUGUACCGACCCAUAUAAGAUGAACCAAAAUUUAAUCCCCUCCUAAUUAUAAGUCAAAUUAACCUCUAUCACUGUCGAUCAAAGUGAUUGACCAAGCGGGCACACAGAGAUGGACGAAGCAUCUUGCGGAUAACCCCAUGAGUGAGUGCUAGAGGACGACCGCCAUCGCUUGCUUGUGGGCCAAACACAUAUAUGGAGAUGUGUGGCUGUGAUGUUUGAAUACCUAAUAUAUAUGCAGAACUUUGAUGUGGCACCUGCCUCGGAAACUGUUAAGUCCCCUACAUGAACCGAGGUUCAUGACACAUGGUAUAUAUAUGUUGCCCCCCUCUCCUCUUCGACGCGUAAUAUAUACUCCUAUGUGCCGUAACAGAACCCGAAAAUAAUCCUCCUUGUUCAUCAAAUUACCUUUCUUGUUGUGUCAUAUAUUAGAUGGACGAUGACCUCACGGGCCCAUGGAGGGAAGAGUCACAGGCGAAUGAGUGACAACCAUCGUCCGCAUGUGGCCCAAUGUGUUGGUGAUGUUUUUAAUACCCAAUAUGCACAACUUUUUGCAGCACCUGCCUCGAAAACCGAAAAGUCCCCACAUGGAGCGAGAUUGAUUCAUGACGUGUGUGUAGUAUAUAUGUGUUACCCCGGCCCCCUACUCCCCUCUUCGACGCGUACUAUAUAAUCCUACCACAACACAAUCCAAAAAGAAACCUCCUUGUUGGGUCAAAGUGAUGGAGGAUAACCUUGCGGGCCCACGGAUGGAAGCAUCGCACGCGAGUGAGUGUCCUAUAUGACGCGUAGUAUUGCCCCCGGCCACCCUCUUCAACGCGUACUAAUAUAUAUACUCCUACCGUACGUAUAAACAAAACCAAAAAAUGACCAUCCUUAUUGCUCAAAUCAACUUCUCUCAUCGCAUGUCAUAGUGUUGGAUGACGACCUGGACCACCGCGUGCAUGUGGCCCAAAGAUGCAUGUCAAACUUUUUCUGUAGCGAAUAUGCGACCAAAGGAGUUUAGUGUUGAAAAAUGAAAAAAAAGAUAACAUCUAUUUGUUUUUUAUACAUUGAUUGAUUUCCCAGGGAUUUAAAUGUGCAAAAAUCAAAUUUGAUCUACAUGAGACCCGUGAUAGUGCACGAAAAUGGAUUGCAAAAUCAUAUGUGUACGUGUCCCUGGGUACAUGUUUAGUCCCCAUGCAAGAAAUUUCUAACAUCUAAAAUCUUGAUUUUAAAAUCCAAUAAAUCCAAAACUAAGUUGAAAUUCAUGAAACUUAUCAUGGUGUCAUAUUGACACCAAUAGACUGUGAUAUUAUUAUUAUUUUCAAAUUUGAGAUAAGUUUUGAUAUAAUCUUCUUACAUAGGGGAAAUUAUAAAUAAUUAUCAACCAAUAUCGCAAACGAACUCUUUAUUCGAACCGUGUGCUUUAGACCAAAAAAAUGUAAGUGCAAUGCUUCAGUUAAGCAAUAAAGUGGCAUAAUUAAUCAUCCAAAAGGAAAAAUCAAUAUAAUACGUGCCGCACACGCAUCUCGUGUGCCGUACAAGCAUAUGUGAGUUGACGAGAUGCAUGCUAGCAGGCAGACCGGGAGGCCGAGGCAUGCACGUGUUCGCCAUGCACUCACCGUAGGGCGUGCUAGUAGCUGUGUGAAAUGACAGCAGGUGUGCCAGCAGUCCGCUACACGGGCUCACCGGGAGGCGAGCCAGCCCUUUGACCGCCGCCCACCUUGCUCCACUGCUCCAUAUUAAUGGCGCGCCCGAUCCGCGACCGCACACCCCAUCCAAAGUUUUCACCGCCGCAUGGAGUGUAUUAGGAUUUUGCCGAAGCGCACCAUCGGUGGGAGUGGCAACACCGGGGCUGGUGAAGCACCCGCGUAAUGCAUGAAGCUGGGCGCAGAGGUUGCGGUAGCCGCCGCCGAGGUCUCGCGUGGGAAGCAGCGCGACCUUGACUUGUCGUCGUCAUCGUGCCUCCCCAGCCGGAGUCGGAGGUCCACAGCUACUCUGGCAACGACUCCGACUCCGCACAUUGUCAAAAAGUAAUGUGGAAGACCUUCUUUAACAUGUGUUAAAAAAAAAAAAAAAAAAAACCAAGGACCUGGAGGUUAAUUUAACUGAUGGGAUGGAUCAUAGAGGUCAUUUAAUUUGACCUCUAUGAUCCAUCCCAUCAGUUAAUUUAACACCAAAACAACUUCCCAUCCAGUCACCCAUCUGAUGGCUGCUCCAGCCUGAGCACAGUUAACUUGAGAGUUCUCUUGGAUGAGCUAUUGGUGGCACAGCUAGUCCUUGCUGAUAUAGGAUGCCUCUUCGCAUCCUUAUGGCUUACCCGGAUGACCUCCCGUCACCCAAUGGCCAAUAGAUGUUGUGUAGAUAGAGCAUAUCACAUCGUACACUGACCACACUAGGGAACCCGUCGGUGAUGAAUUCCAUAAUCGCAAAUGGUUGUAUACUAGCAAGUGUUUGCCCACAACAGACACAUGGCAUAUUCCAUCACAAAUAGCUCGGAUGGAUCAACUGUAUGUCACGUAUCGCACACGCAAUUCUAAUCUGAUUCGUGCUUGAUGUCUCCGCCAUCGCUCGCACACUUCGUCUUAUUUGCCACGUAUCACUGUGCCGGCCUUUGCUCGCGUCCCUCGGCACGCUCUGCUCGACGUUAGGCGCUGCUACUUCUUGAGCUUGCGUUGGUUUUUCCCUUGAAGAGGAAAGGGUGAUGCAACAAAGUAGAGAUAAGUAUUUUCCUUAGUUUGAGAACCAAGGUAUCAAUCCAGUAGGAUACAAUGCACAAAUCAUCGAAUAGCUGCACAAACAAUCAAACAAACUUGCACCCAACGCAAUAAAGGGGUUGUCAAUCCCUUCACGGUUACUUGCAAAAGUGAUAUCUGAUAGAGAUAGAUAAACGAUAAAGUAAAUAUUUUUGGUAUUUUUGGUUUAUAGAUCGGAAAGUAAAAGAUUGCAAGAAUAGUAGAUUGGAAACUAAGAUUGUAGAUCGGAACUUGUAUGAUGGAAAACAGACCCGGGGGCCAUAGGUUUCACUAGAGGCUUCUCGCAAGAUAGAAAAUAAUACAGUGGGUGAACAAAUUACUGCUGAGCAAUUGAUAGAAAAGCGCAAAGUUAUGACGAUACCUAAGGCAAUGAUCAUGAAUAUAUGCAUCAUGUCCGUGUCAAGUAGACUGACUCCUACCUACAUCUACUACUAUUACUCCACACAUCGACCACUAUCCAUCAUGCAUCUAGAGUAUUAAGUUCAUAAAGAAUGGAGUAACGCAUUAAGUAAGAUGACAUGAUGUAGAGUAAUUAACUCAAACAAUAUGAUGAAAACCCCAUAUUUUUAUCCUUGAUGGCAACAAUACAAUACGUGCCUUCCUGCCCCUACUGUCACUGGGAAAGGACACCGCAAGAUUGAACCCAAAGCUAAGCACUUCUCCCAUUGCAAGAAAAACCAAUCUAGUUGGCCAAACCAAAUAGAUAGUUCGAAGAGAAUUACAAAGAUAUCAAAUCAUGCAUAUAAGAAUUCAGAGAAGAUUCAAAUAAUAUUCAUAGAUAACUUGAUCAUAAAUCCAUAAUUCAUCGGAUCACAACAAACACACCGCAAAAAAGUAUUACAUCGAAUAGAUCUCCAUGAACAUCGAGGAGACAUGGUAUUGAGAAUUAAAGAGAGAGAAGAAGCCAUCUAGCUACUAGCUAUGGACCCGCAGGUCUGUGGUAAACUACUCACGCUUCAUCGAAAGGGCAAUGGCAUUGAUGUAUAAGCCCUCCAUGAUCGAAUCCCCCUCCGGCAGGACACCAGAAAAGGCCCCUAGUUGGGAUCUCACGGGUACAGAAGGUUGCGGCGGUGGAGAAGUAUUUUCAUGGAUGCCCCUGAUGGUUUGGGGUAUAUGGGAAUAUAUGAGCGAAAGAAUUAGGUCAGGGGGUGCACGAGGGGUCCCACAAGGGUGGGGGUGUGCCCUACCCCCUGGGUGCGCCCUUCGUCCUUGUGGCCGCCUCGUGGCUCCUCCGACUUCACCUCCAAGUCUCCUGGUUGUUUUUUGGUCCAAGAAAAAUCAUUGCGGAGGUUUCAUUCCGUUUGGACUCCGUUUGGUAUUCCUUUUCUAUGAAACUCAAAAAUAGGGGAAAACGGGAACUGGCACUGGGCUCUAGGUUAAUAGGUUAGUCCCAAAAAUAAUAUAAAAUAGCAUAUUAAUGCAUAUAAAACAUCCAAAAGAGAUAAUAUAAUAACAUGGAACAAUAAAAAAUUCUAGAUAUGUUGGAGACGUAUCAAGCAUCCCCAAGCUUAAUUCCUACUCGUCCUCGAGUAGGUAGAUGAUAAAAACAGAAUUUUUGAUGUGGAAUGCUACCUAACAUAUUUAUCCAUGUAAUUUCUUUUAUUAUGGCAUGAAUGUUCAUAUCCAUAAAAUUCAAAACAAAAGUUUAAUAUUGACAUAAAAACAAUAAUACUUCAAGCAUACUAACAAGGCAAUUAUGUCUUCUCAAAAUAACAUGGCCAAAGAAAUCUUAUCCCUACAAAAUCAUAUAGUCUGGCUAUGCUCCAUCUUCAUCACACAAAAUACUCAAAUCAUGCACAACCCCGGUUUCAGCCAAUAAAUUGUUUCAUACUUUAGUAUUAUCAAAUCUUUUCAACUUUCACGCAAUACAUGAGCGUGAGCCAUGGACUUAGCACUAUAGGUGGAAGAGAAUAUGGUGGUUGUGUGCUACCUCUUGAGCUUGCGUUGGUUUUUCCUUGAAGAGGAAGGGGUGAUGCAGCAAAUUAGCGUAAGUAUUUCCCUCAGUUUUGAGAACCAAGGUAUCAAUCCAGUAGGAGACGACGCACAAGUCACCGAAUACCUGCACAAACAAUCAACAACUUGCACCCAACGCGAUAAAGGGGUUGUCAAUCCCUUCACGGUCACUUGCAAAAGUGAGGUCUCAUAGAGAUGGAUAAACGGUAAAGUAAAUAUUUUUGGUAUUUUUGGUUUAUAGAUCGAAAACUAGCAAGAUGUAAACGAGAUUUAAUAAUAUGGAAAAUAGACCCGGGGGCCAUAGGUUUCACUAGUGGCUUCUCUCGAGAUAGAAAGUAUUACGGUGGGUGAACAAAUUAAUGCCGGGCAAUUGAUAGAAAAGUGCAUAGUUAUGACGAUAUCUAAGGCAAUGAUCAUGAACAUAGGCAUCACGUCCGUGUCAAGUAGACAGACUCCUGCUUGCAUCUACUACUAUUACUCCACACAUCGACCGCUAUCCAGCAUGCAUCUAGAGUAUUAAAUUCAUAAAGAAUGAAGUAAUGCAUUAAGCAAGAUAUGAUGAAAACCCAUCUUUUUAUCCUCGAUGGCAACAAUACAAUACGUGCUUUGCUGCCCCUAGUGUCAUUGAGAAAGGACACCGCAAGAUUGAACCCAAAGCUAAGCACUUCUCCCACUGCAAGAAAGAUCAAUCUAGUAGGCCAAACUAAACUGAUAAUUCAAAGAUACUUGCAAAGAUAUCAAGUCAUGCAUAUAAGAAUUCAUAGAAGAACCAAAUAAUAUUCAUAGAUAAUCUUGAUCAUAAAUCCACAAUUCAUCAGAUCUCGGCAAACACGCCGCAAAAGAGUAUUACAUCGGAUAGAUCUCCAAGAAAAUCAAGGAGAACAUGGUAUUGAGAAUCAAAGAGAGAGAAGAAGCCAUCUAGCUAAUAACUAUGGACUCGGAGGUCUGUGGUAAACUACUCACGCUUCAUUGGAGAGGUAAUGGUGUUGAUUUAGAAGCCAUCCGUGAUCAAAUCCCUCCUCCAGCAGGACGUCGGAAAAGGCCUCAAGAUGGGAUCUCACGGGUAUAGAAGGUUGGGGAUGCCCCGGAAGGCAUUCCCUCUUUCAUCUUCGUCUAUCGGUAACUUUACUUGAGGCUAUAUUUUUAUUCACCACAUGAUAUGUGUUUUGCUUGGAGCGUCUUGUAUGAUUUGAGUCUUUGCUUUUUAUUUUGCCAAAAUCAUCCUUGUUGUACACAACUUUUGAGAGGGACACGCAUGAAUCGUGAUUUAUUAGAAUACUCUAUGUGCUUCACUUAUAUCUUUUGUGCUAGGCAAUAUUGCUCUAGUGCUUCACUUAUAUCUUUUUAUAGCACGGCGAGGGUUUUAUUUUAUAGUAAUUAAUGAACUCUCAUGCUUCACUUAUAUUAUUUUGAGAGUCUCUAAAUAGCAUGGUAAUUUGCUUUGGUUAUAAAUUUAGUCCUAAUAUGAUAGGCAUCCAGGAGGGAUAUAAUAAAAACUUUCAUAUAAAGUGCAUUGGAUACUAUGAGAAGUUUGAUUCCUUAUGAUUGUUUUGAGAUAUGAAGAUGAUGAUAUUAGAGUCAUGCUAGUGGAGUAUUUGUGAAUUUGAGAAAUACUUGUGUUGAGGUUUGUGAUUCCCGUAGCAUGCACAUAUGGUGAACCAUUGUGUAACAAAGUUGGAGCAUGAGGUAUUUUUUGAUUAUCAUUCUUUGUGUGGAGGUCGGGAUCGUGUGAUGGUUAACUCUAGCCAACCCUUCCCCUAGGAGCAUGCACGUAGUGCUUGGUUUCGAUGACUAAUAGAUUUUUGCAAUAAGUAUGUGAGUUCUUUAUGACUAAUGUUGAGCCCAUGGAUUAUACACACUCUCACCCUUCCACCUUUGCUAGCCCCUCUUGUGUUGCACAACUUUCGCUGGUACCAUACACCCACCAUAUACCUUCCUCAAAACAACCACCAUACCUACCUAUUAUGGCGUUUCCAUAGCCAUUCCAAGAUAUAUUGCCAUGCAACUUUCCACCGUUCCAUUUAUUAUGACACAUUUCGUCAUUGUCAUAUUGCUUUGCAUGAUCAUGUAGUUGACAUCGUAUUUCUGGCAAAGCCACGUUUCAUAAUUCUUUCAUACAUGUCACUCCUGAUUCAUUGCAGAUCCUGGUACACUGCCAGAGGCAUUCACAUAGAAUCAUAUUUUGUUCUAAGUAUUGAGUUGUAAUUCUUGAGUUGUAAGUAAAUACAAGUGUGAUGAUCAUCAUUAUUAGAGCAUUGUCCCAUGUGAGGAAAAAAAGAGGCCAAAGAAGCCAAAGAAAUAAAAAAGAGAGGCCAAAGAAGCCAAAGAAAAAAAUGACAGAAAAAGAGAGAAGAGGCAAUGUUACUAUCCCUUUUCCACACCUGUGCUUCAAAGUAGCACCAUGAUCUUCAUGAUAGAGAGUCUGCUAUUUGUCACUUUCAUAUACUAGUGGGAAUUUUUCAUUAUAGAACUUGGCUUAUAUAUUCCAACGAUGGGAUUCCUCAAAUUUCCCUAGGUCUUCAUGAGCAAGCAAGUUGGAUGCACACCCACUUAUUUUUUUCUUUUUGAGCUUUCAUAAACUUAUAACUCUAGUGCAUCCGUUGCAUGGCAAUCCGUUUCAUCUUUGGUAUGCAAUUCUUUUCUCAUCAAAUCCUCCCAAACUCGUCCUAACAAAUAUAUCCUUUCUUUUAUUUCCCUUCUAGUAUAUGAACUCAAAUCAUGAAAAGUAUUUUGAUUAGUUAUUUUGACAUUCAUAAACCCGUAAUCGGGGUCAUCACCAUAAAUAUCGUCAUAAAGCACACAAAUCUCGUUUCUAACGGGUUUCUUCAUCAUUUCAUUCACCCAAUCUAUUGAAUCCUACAUGAAUACCCCUAAUAAUCCAUUCAAAUUCCUCAUAGGCCUCAAGGUACAAAGAUUGAGAGAUUUCUGCAUAGGGAACUCUCCUCCUAAGGUUUUCACUAUAAGAUUGAUAAUCCCUAGAUUCCAAACUACGCAUAGUUUCUUUGUCAUGGAGGAUAUCCUCAAUUGGAGGGUGUUCAACAUCCUUUUGUAGUAAGCAAAAAUAUCCCUAGCUUCUAUUAAUAUAAAAUAAAAUUCACGCAUAAGAAUCAUAAUUGCAAUCUUUUUAGUUAUAGGAUGAUUAAUGUUUGGAAGUUCGUAAAACACUUUUUGCAAAGCGGGGUGAAGGUGCACAAAUUUUCUUUCUAGUUUCUCAACAAGCAUAACAAUGGAAUUUGCAACAAUUUGUAUCAAGAAGAAUAGAUCUUUUAUCAAUAAGCAUAGAUCCCAUACAAUCAAAGAACUCUUGAAUAAAACAUUUUCCUAUAAUAUUACCAUCACCCACAGAAAAAGUUUUUGCUUUGUAAUUAGGAGGAUUUGCAGUUUCAUUAUCCGACAAACAACAUUCAAAUUUUUCCUCAAGAUUUUCAAUGAUAACCUCCCCAGAUUCAGACAUGAUGGCAACAAACCAAUCCAGCAAACGUGCAAACCGAAAGUAAACGAAGAAGACAAACGGAAAAGGGGCAAAGAAAAGGCAAAUCUUUUUGAAAAUCAUUUUAGAAGUAGGGGAGAGGAAAAUGAGUGGCGAAUGGCGAAUAAUGUAAUGCAAGAGACAAGAAUUUGUGAUGGGUACUUGGAAUCUCUUGACUUGGCGUAGAUCUCCCCGACAAUGGCGCCAGAAAUUAUUCCUCCUACUUCUUGAGCUUGCGUUGGUUUUUCCAUUGAAGAGGAAAUGGUGAUGCGGCAAAAUAGAGAUAAGUAUUUCCCUCAGUUUGAGAACCAAGGUAUAAAUCUAGUGGGAGAAAAUGCACAAAUCACCGAAUACCUGCACAAACAAACAAACAAACUUGUACCCAACGCAAUAAAGUGGUUGUCAAUCCCUUCACGGUUACUUGCAAAAGUGAGAUCUGUAGAGAUAAAUAAAUGAUAAAGUAAAUAUUUUUUGUAUUUAGAUCGGAAACUUGUAUCAUGGAAAAUAGACCUGGGGGCCAUAGGUUUCACUAGAGGCUUCUCUCAAGAUAGAAAAUAAUACGGUGGGUGAACAAAUUACUGCCGAGCAAUUUAUAGAAAAGCGCAUAGUUAUGACGAUAGCUAAGGCAAUGAUCAUGAAUAUAGGCAUCACGCCCGUGUCAAGUAGACCGACUCCUGCCUGCAUCUACUACUAUUACUCCACACAUCGACCGCUAUCCAACAUGCAUCUACAAUAUUAAGUUCAUAAAGAACAGAGUAAUGCAUUAAGUAAGAUGACAUGAUGUAGAGGAAUUAACUCAAACUAUAUGAUGAAGACCCCAUAUUUUUAUCCUCGAUGGCAACAAUACAAUACGUGCCUUGCUGCCCCUACUGUCAUUGGGAAAGCACACCACGAGAUUGAACCCAAAUCUAAGCACUUCUCCCAUUGCAAGAACAACCAAUCUAGUUGGCCAAACCAAACCGAUAGUUCGAAGAGAAUUACAAAGAAUUCAAAUCAUGCAUAUAAGAAUUCAGAGAAGAUUCAUAUAAUAUUCAUAGAUAAGCUGAUCAUAAAUCCACAAUUCAUCGGAUCACAACAAACACACCGCAAAAAAGUAUUCAUCGAAUAGGUCAACAAGAACAUCGAGGAGAACAUGGUAUUGAGAAUCAAAGAGAGAGAAGAAGCCAUCUAGCUACUAGCUAUGGACCUGUAGGUCUGUGGUAAACUACUCACACUUGAUUGGAAGGGCAAUGGUGUUGAUGUAGAAGCCCUCCGUGAUCGAAUUGCUCUCCGGCAGGACACCGGAAAAGGCCCCUAGAUGGGAUCUCACGGAUACAGAAGGUUGCGGCAGCGGAAAAGUGUUUUUGUGGAUGCCCCUAUUGGUUUGGGGAUAUAUGGGAAUAUUUAGGCAAAAGAAUUAGGUCAGGGGGUGCAUGCAGGGCCCACAAGGGUGGGGGCACGCCCUACCCCCUGGGCACGCCCUCCCUCAUUGUGGCCGCCUCAUGGCUCCUCUGGCUUCAUCUCGAAGUCUCCUGGUUGUCUUCUGGUCCAAGAAAAAAUCAUCGCGAAGGUUUCAUUGUGUUUGGACUCCGUUUGGUAUUCCUUUUCUGCGAAACUCAAAAACAUGGAAAAACAGGAACUAGCACUGGGCUCUAGGUUAAUAGGUUAGUCCCAAAAACAAUAUAAAAUAGCAUAUUAAUGCAUAUAAAACAUCCAAAACGGAUAAUAUAAUAGCAUGGAACAAUCAAAAAUUAUAGAUACGUUGGAGACGUAUCGGGCGCCGCAGCGCGCUGUGCUCACCGUUAGGCGCCGCGGCGCGCUCUUCUCGCAUACCUCCACGCGCUCGGCAUGUGGACAGCUUCUCCUUGCGUGUUCAACUACUAUAUGCAUAUAUUUGGUUGCUCGUUGUUGAGGCGACCGAUGAGCGCUCUGCUCACGUCCCUGCGCACGCUCUGCUAGCGAUUGGAGCCUGCGCAUGAUCACGUUGGGGGCCAUAUGCAUGAGGUUGCACCACGCGCGUCUUCAUGUGAUGUAGUUACGUGUGACACGAUGGAGUUACACGCUGCAAAUUAGAACUACCAUCUGGGCAUGCAGAUAUUCCAAACCGUCCGGCUUCCCCUUUAAUUCUCAUGACCAUUAUAAUAACCUUAGUCUCAUCAACUUUUUGAUCGCGCCGGACAACACAACAAGCACACCCAUGAUGACACAUAGAGAGGAGAUGUCUAGCGGCGCUCCAAUGGAGUUCGGUGAGCAUAAAGUGGAGACCCACGCGUGGGAGACGGAUCUCUCAGUGGUGUACACCAUCGACCCGGCCGUGGUGGACGACUACAUCAACACCAUUGAGCAGUUGCUUUCUCGAGACAAGUACAAGGUGGUCAGCAUCAAUCUUCAGUACACUGGCGGUCGUCCCAUCAUAGAUCAAAAGGUUGCCAUUGCCCAGUUGUGUGUGCACCAUCAUGUCCUCAUCUAGCACUACUACAUGGUCACAGAGCCUUCCAAUUGUUUGGCCAGGUUUGUCAAUGACACCAACUACAAGUUCGCUAUGGUGGAAACCACUAACGAUGUAAAAGUGCUCACUGUUACGAGCUUGGACUGCAAGAACCUUGUCGAAAUCCGUGAGCACUACAGGGUCUGGGGUAGCAUGAAGAAGGACUCCCUGGUUAAACUCGCCCCGACCAUCAUCGACCCAUACUACAAAAAGAUGAAGCAAGAUGUCGGGAAACGACACCUAUGGGAUCACGGGGAUCCCUUCUACGGUUGGCGGGGCGAGGAGCUGCGCGAAGAGCAAGUCUAGUGAUCAGCGCGAGGGAUUUUUACCCAGGUUCGGGCCGCACUGGUGUGUAAAACCCUAGUCCUGCUUGUGUGUAUAUUCUGUGUUCUUGAGCUUUUGAACUAGCUGCGGUGCAUGCCCAGUCCAAACAGUCCGAAUCCCCCCUCAGUACGCCUCGGGCCUCCUUUUAUAUGUCAAAGGGGUUGCCACAGCGGCACACGGGAGGUGGAAAGUAUCUACAGUGUUCAAACUUAUCGCUCGGCACCAUACGACAAACGCAUUUAAUGUGCUGCCUACGUGCCCUCUUACUUUAUCAGGGACGGUAAUAGAAGAGCCCCGUCCGACGUUGCCUCUCCUUGCCUUGACACGCGUCUAGACUGACGAGGCAUGCAACGCUAGGCUAGCUGGCUGUUGCUGUGCUGGCGCGAUAGUAGAGCCUCCACGAAGAUCUGCAUGCCGCCAUGCAGGCGCCUGCCUAGUUGGCAAGCUGGUCGUCGCGCUGGAACGGUGUUGAGAUGGUGGAACCUUGUCGGGCGCGGGCCUGGUUGUGGCCCCGCAAUCGUCCCCAGCAAGGGUCUUGCUGGGGUCUUUGUUUUCUGGUCCCACGUGGACCUGCAGGCUAUCAAUCUUCACAAAGAUAUGCAUGCCACUAUGCAUGCUCCCCCCCCCGAGCCUUCGCCUUGACGUUGUCGAUGAUGUCAAAGCUCUCGGCCUCAAGGGUGACGGCCUUGCUGGUGCUUCGCAGGUUGCCCCGUCAAAGCUCUUGUCGGGGCUGCAUAGGUCGCCCCGGCAAGGGUGUUGCCUGGGGAGGUCCAGCUAGUCUUCUACUCUCUGCUUUCCAUCUUGAAUGUUGUCUUGGUAGUCUUGUGUUUUUUUUGCCUACUGCCCUGUCAAGCCAUGUCGCAGGUGUGGCUACGACUGCCCGUGCAAAAGUAAGGGGUAUAGAAGAGCCCAUACUUUUGUACACCGACAUAGGAUGCCAACAGAACACAUCAUGUAUCCGACACGGGGCCUGGGUGCGGCAACUGGAUGAACCUCACCUCAGGUUCGCGUCCAAGAGUGUGUACACAUGCUACGAGAUGCACAGGUGGAUCGUUGACAUGAGGAAGUGCCUCAUUACCAAAAUCGACGAGGCCGGAUCGAGCCAUAAGCAGAGCAGUAGCGGCAAGCGUCACAAGAAGUAGAUGAUGAUCAGAUGAUCCUUUAUCUUGGUUAAUUAUGCAUGUAAUAUAUAGUUGACUUUGGUGUGUGGAAAUUUCAUGUGUGUGUAUCUACAUGCAAAAUUUGGCUGGUGGAGGCUCUAAGUUUAUGAUUUUGCAUAAAGCUAGUUUUUCCCUACAAGAAAGGAAUAUAUUUAUUUAACUACUCCCAAGUUGUACAAAAAUAUUUGAGAAGGUUCCCCCAGCUCAAAUCCCAAUUAAACAAUAUCAUCAUUAAACCCCAAUCAAUUAAUUAAAGAGUGAUGAGAUCAUCAAUAAUAUCCAAUUCCAGAUACUGAUACGUCCAUUUUGCAUCAUGAUUUUAUAUCAAUAUUUAUUGUAUUAUGGGCUGUUAUUACACAUUAUAUCUCAAUACUUAUGGCUAUUCUCUCUUAUUUUACAAGGUUUACCAUGAAGAGGGGGAAUGCCGGCAGCUGUAAUUCUGGCUGGAAAAGGAGCAAAUGUUGGAAACAUAUUCUGCACAACUCCAAAAGUCCUGAAACUCCAUGAAACAACCUUUUGGAUUUAAUAAGAAUUUAUGAGCGAAAGAAAUAGGCCAGGGGGCCCACACCCUGUCCAGGAGACAGGGGGCGCCCCCCUGUAGGGCGCGGCCUCCUAUCUCCUGGGCCCCCUGGUGGGCCUCCAGCGUCCAUCUUCUGCUAUAUCAUCACUUUUACCCUGGAAAAAAUCGUGGGCAAGCUUACGGGACGAAACUCCGCCGCCACGAAGCGGAACCUUGGCGGAAUCAAUCUAGGGCUCUGGCGGAGCUGUUUUGUCGGGGACACUUCCCUCCGGGAGGGGGAAAUCAUCACCAAUGUCAUCACCAACGAUCCUCUCAUCGGGAUGGGGUCAAUCUCCAUCAACAUCUUCACCAGCACCAUCUCCUCUCAAAACCCUAGUUCAUCUCUUGUAUCCAAUCUUGUAUCAAAAACCACAAAUUGGUACCUGUGGGUUGCUAGUAGUGUUGAUUACUCCUUGUAGUUGAUGCUAAUUGGUUUACUUGGUGGAAGAUCAUAUGUUUAGAUCCUUUAUGCAUAUUAUUACUCCUCUGAUUAUGAACAUGAAUAUGCUUUGUGAGUAAUUACGUUUGUUCCUGAGGACAUGGGUGAAGUCUUGCUAUUAGUAGUCAUGUGAAUUUGGUAUUCGUUCGAUAUUUUGAUGAGAUGUAUGUUGUCUUUUCCUCUACUGGUGUUAUAUGAACAUCGACUACAUGACACUUCACCAUUAUUGGGCCUAGAGGAAGGCAUGGGGAAGUAAUAAGUAGAUGAUGGGUUGCUAGAGUGACAGAAGCUUAAACCCUAGUUUAUGCGUUGCUUCGUUAGGGGUUGAUAUGGGCCCAUAUGUUUAAUGCUGUGGUUAGGUUUACCUUAAUACUCCUUUUUGUAGUUGCGGAUGCUUGCAAUAGGGGUUAAUCAUAAGUGGGAUGCUUGUCCAAGUUAGGGCAGUACCCAAGUGCCGGUCCACCCACAUAUCAAAUUCUCAAAGUACCGAACGUGAAUCUUAUGAACGUGAUGAAAACUAGCUUGACGAUAAUUCCUAAUGUGUCCUCGGGAGCUCCUUCUUCAUUAUUAGAAUUUGUCCACGCUUAUCCUUUGCUACAUAAAGGAUUGGGCCACCUUGCUGCACUUUAUUUACUUUAUUUACUUUUUGCUCGUUACUAUUUUUCUUAUCACAAAACUAUCUAUUACCUACAAUUUCAGUGCUUGCAGAGAAAACCUUACUGAAAACCGCUUAUCAUUUCCUUCUGCUCCUCGUUGGGUUCGACACUCUUACUUAUCGAAAGGACUACGAUAGAUCCCCUACACUUGUGGGUCAUCAGAUACUCAAGAUGUCCAUAACCGGGGACACGACUAACCAUGAUUAGUUUAUACACUCUGUAGAGGUUGCGCACUUUUCCCUACAAAACUCGACCGCAUCCAUGAUCGGAAGAUCAAGACAUAGUCUUUCUGAAGCAUUAACUCUCUACUCCGGGCAGACCGGUACACCUACAACCCCCCUACAUCUACUAGUCCGCCUCUUCGAGAGCUCAUACAACUUACUCAACUAUGCCAGAGCCCAUAAUGGCUUGUGGCUGCACACGGAAGUUUCUAGUCAUGAAAUGUCAUAUGAUCCCUUUGGGCCUGGGUGGCAAACCGAGGAAAAAUCUCAGGAUACCCUGGAUUUCCCUUAAUGGACAACACUAUAUUCCCCAGGUGCCCCAACCAAUCCACCCAGAUGUGUAUUAAAGUUGCCACCUUAAGGUUAUCCAAGACUUAAAACUCUCAUAACUUCCAUGUGAAUCACGAUCCAAUCCCAGUCUAUGAGCAUGGCUAAGCAAUAAUAAAGCAUAACAUAUAUUCCCGGGGUGAUCGAAGGUAUUAGGUUCCUACCUCAAGUACUACAACCAAACCGCAUGUUCCCAAUCCUACUCAUGCAAAAUUUGAGGGGUAAUACUAAUGCAUAGUAAAAACUUGGUAUAAUAGAGUAUGAUCAAAGUGUAACUUGCUUUGCUAACGAUCAAAAAACUCUAGAGAUUCGUAGUAACAAGCUUCACACUCCGGGUAAUCUAGCAUAGACAAACAGUAGCAUACAUAAGCAAUCACUCAAACGAAAGCAACAAGAAAACGAGAAAAGAUCCAAAUCAACACGAAACAAGAAAACAUCUUAAACUAAACAGAAAGUAAAACCUAACAUCAUUAAUAUCAUAUGAAUUAGAUCUUAACAGUACAUGUGAUUAGCUACGAUUUGCAAAAAGAAACAACUCAAACGGAGAAACGAAACUCGAGAAACGAACGAAACAAGAUCAUUUACUAAUCUGAACUAAAGUCAAAUUUUACAGUGUCAAAAUCAUGUUCAAGUUGGUUAACUGGAAAGAACAGAUUGUUACGAAGAUUUAGGCAUUGGUUUCAUCUAAUUUGGACUGACGAGCAAAAAGUUACGCUAGUUUUAAGAUUAGGGGUUAAAUCGCGAGAAAACUAUUUGCGGAUAGGUCCCUGGACGAAAAUAAAACUAAAAAGAAAAAUCUACCGCACGAACGUUCAUUAACAGAACUAAUGUAACGAAAUACAUUCGUUAAAACGAAUGAACGAACGAACGUUCGUUAAAUAGGUAAACCUAAAGAAAAAAACCGAUCUAAACUAAACCAAAAAAAACGGAAACAAAACCGUUCGGCUGGUCGGUUCUUACCGGUUCAACGAGAAAAGACCGGCGGCGGCGAGAUCGGAUCGGCGGCGGCAGCGGGCGCGGUGGCGGCGACGGUGCGGGACGGCGGCGUGGGGUGCUGCGGCGGCGGCGAAUGGAGGCGACACGGCGCGGCGGUGGAGAUGCGGCGGCGGCGACUACUGCAGCUGCUGCUGCGGCUGCGGGAGGCAGGGCGAGGCGAGGUCGAGAGCGAGACCGUGGCGGCGUAUAUAAAGGGGGGUGUGGGCUCCUCCGACUAGGGGGAGGGGUCUGGCGAAGGCGGCGGUGGCUCGGACUCCGAGGAGUCCGGCGAGGGGAUGGCGCGACGCGCUGGGGAGGCGGCGGCGGCCUGGUGGGCCGGGUGUGCUUCGGCCCAGUCGAUCCGAACUUUUUUUAAAAAAUAAUUUCGCCGCAGAAAGUCCUAAAUAAGUAUAAAAAAUCUAAAAAUUCCAGAAACAAUUUUCACCAUCCAAACCUAAUAUUUAGGACAAGAUGAACAUUUUUCUGGACUAAAAUGCAAUUUUCAAAAAUGUAAUUUUUUUCGAAUUCAAAUAAAAAUACCAAUAAAAUAAUAAUGUGAUUUAAAAUUCUUUCUCCAAUAUUUCUCCUAGGUUGAAGAAGUCAUAUUAUCUUCUCUCAUUUAUUUUUAUUAUUGGAAAUAAUUGGAGAGAAAAAUAGUAAAAUCAAAUUGAUCCUCUUUUCAAAUUUGAAAUAAAUUCAAAUAUGAAUUUUGUGAAACCUCCAACUCUCUCUUUGGGUCCUUGAGUUGCUUAAGAUUUCUAGGAUCACAGCAAAAUGCAAAAAAAUAAAUAUAAUUUGCAUAUGAUGAUCUAUGUAUAACAUCCAAAUUGAAAAUUGGGAUGUUACAGGCAUGAUUGUUGUUUGUUGGUAUGCCUGAGUAUUGAUGUCUUUAUAUCAAAUUAUAGACUAUUCCUUUGAGUCACUUGUAUCCUAAUAUUCAUACUGUAAAAGAGAUUACAUGAUAAACAUGUUAGGUAGCACUCGACAUCAGAAAUUCUAUUUUUAUCACUUACCUAUUCGAGGACGGGCAGGAAUUAAGCUUGGGGAUGCUAAUACGUCUUCGACAUAUCUAUAAAUUUUUUUAUUCUUCCAUGCUAUUAUAGUGUCAUUUUUUCAAACUAACCUAUUAACCUAGUGCCCAGUGCCAUUUCCUGUUUUUUUGCUUCUUUUUGGCUUUUCAGAAAAUCUAUAUCAAAUGAAGUCCAAAUGGGAAAAAUUGUUGGAUUAAUUUUUUUCUGGACCAGAAGGGACCCUAGAAGGUUCGGGAGGAGGCCAGAAGAGCUACGGGUGAGCGACAAGCUCAUAGGGUGUGCCCCUUGAGCUUGUGGGGUCCCCGUAGCAUGUUUUGAUCUACUUCCACCUCUAUAAAUCCACAAAAUCCCCAAUCCAGCAAAGAGCCACCAGAAACACUUUUUCCACCGUCGCAAGCUUUUGUUCUUCCGCGAUCCCAUCUGGAGGCCUUUCUUGGUACUCUGCCGGAUGGGGAAUUAAUCACAGAGGGCUUCUACAUCAUCCUUUCUGGCUUCUGAUGAUGCAUGAAUAGUUUACCACAGACCUAUGGGUCCAUUGAUAGUAGAUUGAUGGCUUCUUCUCUCUCUUUGAUCUUCAAUACCAUGUUCUCCUCGAUGUUCUUCGAGUUCUAUCUGAUGUAAUCUUCUUUUGCGGUGUGUUUGUUGGGAUCCGAUGAAUUUUGGGUUUAUGAUCUGAAUAGUUAUGAGAAGUAAUGGAGUCUUUUCUGAACUUCAUUAUGCAUGAUUGUUAUAGCUUGUAUUUAUCUCCGUCUAUAUAUUUGGUUUGGCUAACUAGAUUGAUUUAUCUUCAGUGGGAGAGGACCUUUGUAAUGGGUUCAAUCUUGCGAUGCUUUAUCCCAGUGACAGAAAGGGACAAGACACGUAUUUGUAUUGUUGCCAUUAAGAGUAAAAUGAUGGGGUUUAUUCAUGUUAGUUGAGUUUACGUUGUCUACAUCAUGGCAUCUUGUUUAAUGCAUUACUCUAUUUUUAUUACUCCCUCCAUUCACUUUUAUAAGUCAUUUCAGACAAGUGAAAUUAAGUUGUUUUGCAGAAUGUCUGAAACAUCUACAAAGCCUUAUAAAAGUGAACAGAGGGAGUAACUUAAUACCCUAGAUGCAUGUUGGAUAGCGGUCGAUGGGUGGAGUAUUAGUAGUAGAUGCAAGCACGAGUCGGUCUACUUGUCUUGGAUGUUAUACCUAUAUACAUGAUCAUUACCUUGAAUACCGUCAUAACUACGUGCUUUCCUAUCAAUUGCCCUACGGUAAUCUGUUCACCCGUCGUAUGCUAUGUGUUUGAGAGAGAAGCCUCUAGUGAAAACUAUGGCCCCCGGGUCUACUUAAUCAUAUUACAAAACACGAAAAUACUUUUGCUGCAAUUUACUUCUUUUAUUUUGUUUUGAAACUUAUCCAUCUACCACUACGAGAUUUGAUCCUUGCAAUUAACAAGCUCAAGGGGAUUGACAACCCUCUUCCCCGCGUUGGGUGCAAGUAUUUGCUUUUGUGUGUGCAGGUGCUGUUUAUGAGGCUUUGCGUGAUUCGCCUAUUGGUUUGAUAAACCUUGGUUCUCACUUAGGGAAAUACUUAUCUCUAUUGUACUGCAUAUCCCCUCCUCUUCGGGGAAAAUCCCAACGCAGCUCACAAGUAGCAGAAUGGCACUCCCUUCUUCACGGUGUAUGGCGCAGAAGCUGUCCUAACGAGUGAUUUACUUCACAAUUCCCCUCAAGUGGAGCUUUAUUCGGAGGCUAAAGCUAAAGAAGCACGUUAAGAUGGCCUUGAUCUACUUGAGGGAGAGCGUGAGUUGGCACUCAUCAGGUCGACUGCCUAGCAGCAAGAUCUGCGCAUAUAUGAUGACAGGCGGGUCAGAGGGUGUGCCUUUUAGGAAGGCAGCCUAGUCCUCGGACUGGACCAAGAUAAGCCACAUAAGUUGGCCCCUCCGUGGGAAGGGCCCUUUGAGAUUGCGAAGGUUCUGAAUAAUGGAGCCUAUCAACUCUACAACUUCGAUAAAGACAUAGAAAAGCCACGAGCUUGGAAUGCGAACCUGCUCCACAAAUUCUUCACUCAAAAUAAUUUUUGCAUUGUAAUAAAGAUUUCUGAGUGACAUUUGAUGAAUAAAAGUCUUACUUUUCCUGGACAUCAUAAAAUUUGGCUUAGUGCUAUUGUUCACUCCAAUGACCUAAACACUCAGAAACUACAACACUCCCAGCGGGUGAACUUAGCCGUGGACUAGAAUUCUCCUAAGUUAAAAACUGCUCUGAGUGAGGACAUCCUCCUCACUAGGGGGCUUAGCUGCGAACUAGAAUUCACCUAAGUUAAAAACUUCUUGAAGUGAGGAUAUCCUCCUCACUCGGGGGGCUUAGCCGGGAACCAGAAUUUGCCUAAGUUAAAAACUUCUAUGAGUGAGGACAUCUUCCACACUUGAGGGCUUAGCCGCGAACUAGAAUUUGCCUAAGUUAAAAACUUAUCCGAGUGAGGACAUCUUCCACACUCGGGGGCUUAGUUGCGAACCAGAAUUCGCCUAAGUUAAAUACUACUCUGAGUGAGGACAUCUUCCUCACUCGGGGGCUUAGCAUUGAACCAAAAUUCGCCUAAGUUAAAAACUACUCCGAGUGAGGACGCCUUCCUCACUCGGGGGCUUAGCCGUGAACCAGUAUGUUCCUAAGUUAAAGACUACUCCGAGUGAGGACAUCUUCCUCACUCGAGGGCUUAACCAUGAACCAGAAUUCGCCUAAGUUAAAAACUUCUCCAAGUGAGGACAUCCUCCUCACUCGGGGGCUUAGCCGCGAACCAGAGUUUGCCUAAGUUAAAGGCACAUCAGUGAAUAAAGCAAGGAUCCAUGCAUCCGGUUAAAAACUUCGAUCUGUUCGAACGGUCAAAGAAAAAGAUGAAGUGCAUGAGCUCCAGGCUCAUCAAAGUUAAAUGGUUACAUUAAUCACUCGGAGACCGAGGCAAAUUUAUUCAGAAUCAAAGUAUUUUCACGCGUCGGACGGAGGGCUGACAGGGUCGAUGAAGGAGUCCAGAUCAAUGCCAUCCACAAUUCGAGUGGCAGCUUCAAUGAAUGUCUCCAUGAAGCCCUCGAACUUGAGCUUCUUGUUCUUGAUAACCAUGAGGGACUACAGCUUCUCUUCAUCCACAUCCUUGCAGUGGAUGUGGACGAGUAAAAGCGUGAUGUCGGCUCCACAGCAGGCUGCAGACCUCUUCCAGGAUUAAACCCGGCUAGGGAUUACGUUCAGUCGGACCAUCAUGGACUCUAGAUCACUCUGAAGCUUCUCGCCGGCAGCAGCUCCUUGUCGAUAUUCACUAUUGUAGCUCUCAAGCGGGUAAUAUACCCCAGGGUGUUGUCGAGGCGAUCGUUCAGGCGAAGGAUCGCCAUGGCGGCGCUGUCCCUAAGGAGCUGCCUAGAAGGAUCCAGAUCCUUCUCGACCCACUCGGUCUCCACCUCAACGUUGUCACAUGUCAAAAGAAACAACUAAGGAUUAGCAUUGGCAGAAAUUCAUAAGUAAAUGGGGUUCACUCGGCUAAACAUCAUACCUUCGAGCUUUGUGGACAUUUCCACGCUGAAAUCUUCAAUGUACUGCUUGAGUUCUGCCUUCUUCUUAAGGAGUUCGGUGACCUUGUCAUUCAACAUCUUCUUCUCCUCCUCAAAGGCACUCGCCAGGGUGUUGCACUUUGUUUCCCACUCAGCAUAGUGCUUCUUAAGCUCAGAGAUUUCACUAUGCGCCACCUCAGCAAUGGCCCUUGGAGUCUUGUUCUCCUCCUCGAGUUUCCUGAUUGACUUUAGCUUGUCUUCGGCUGCCUUGGUCUUGGCCUUAGCAUCCUUCCCCGCCUCCGCCAGCUUGGUGUCCUUGUCCUCGAGGGCCUAUUUCAUGGUUUCUAAAGAAAUAGCUGUCCCAAGCCUCUUUACAAUUUGGGUGUUCUUGCUAUGAACAUUUGCUAAAGUGAUUUCAUUCAAAUCAAAGGGGAAGCAAGUUUCGAAAAGCAGUCAAAUCACAAAGCUAACCUCCCAGGGCACACUUCUCCUGAGCAAGGCGCUCGCUCUUGUGCUUCCUAGCCUCUAGGUCCAAGCGAAGCUGCAGCACCUCCUUCUUCAGAGUGGCGUAGUGUCCCGAGCUUGCAGGCCCUCCAUUACGAAGCAAUAAGACAAUCAGUCGGAUAUAAAAUUCAACAAACAUGUGACUUCUGGAGCUGCUCAAGCCCAGACUCUGAUUCAUGAGUAGUUCAUAGUCAGAAGUUUUUCGCACUUAAAACAUGCUAGGGUUACUCAAGGCCCAACUCUGAUUCAUAAGAAGUCAUAGUCAUAACUUUUUCGCACUUACAAACCUACCAAGCCACCACUCGGCUAGCCGUGUGGGAGAUUGCACUCUGAGUGCUAAAUCAAGCAGAGUGUGAGUUCUCACAGACUCCCACCAAUUGCCCGAAAUUGACAACAAUCUUGGGGGCUACACCCAGUGGACGCACUUAGCAUGCCCCCACUAAAGGACAUCCACUCGGACGGUCCACAAAAAAUGAUGGUUAAUCGUUCUCAGAGCAAAAACGCUAAGUUCUAAGACUCCCGCCAACUGCUACUAGUCGGUGGCAGUCUCGGGGACUACACCCAGUGGGUGCACUUAUCUUGCCCCCACAAGAGUAAACUGACUCGAAUUGGCCCCGGUGGGCUGAGUGAAAAAAACACUCAAAGAAAAUAUAAGUUCUAAGACUCCCGCCGACUACUUCCCGUCAAUGGCAGCCUCGAGGACUACACCCAAUGGGUGCACUCAGCGUGCCCCCAUUGGAACGUAUGACACUCAGUGGAUGUACUCCGUGAAAACCCACUAGCAGAAACUCAACUUUCCAUUCAAAAGACAGAAGAAAACUCAAAAACUUGAAGACUCUGACCGAAAAAGCAUACUUACGAUGGUACUUACUCGGACGUUGGUCUGCAGCGCUUCACUCGCGUCAAACGCCUCCUCGAGUUGUUGGUUCAUCACCUUGACUCGGAUUAGAGCCUCCUUGCUCGCCCCCACUUGGCGCUCCAGGACCCUAUGUAGCGUGAAGGCAGUGACAGGGGCUGGCUUCGGCACAGGUGCGGGUUCAGGAGAUGGAGUAGUGGCCACAAGCUCGGAACCAGCCCAGGCUAUAGGGCUUGGACCCGCGGGCUUCGCAGUAGCUUUGGCUAGAGAGUCACAACCCACUCGGCUCGGUGAAGCAUCCUGCAUGAUAAUUGAUAACCCACAAGUAUAGGGGUUCACAACAGUUUUUUAGGGUAGAGAAUUCAACCCAAAUUUAUUGAUUCGACACAAGGGGAGCCAAAGAAUAUUCUCAAGUAUUAGCAGUUGAGUUGUCAAUUCAACCACACCUGGAUAACUUAAUAUCUGCAGCAAAGUAUUUAAUAGCAAAGUAGUAUGGAAGUAACGGUAACAGUGGUAAAAGUAACAGUAGCAGUUUUGUAGUAAUUGUAACAGUGGCAACGGAAAAGUAACUAAGCAAAGAUCAAUAUGUGAAAAGCUCGUGGGCAUUGGAUCAGUGAUGGAUAAUUAUGUCGGAUGUGAUUCCUCAUGCAAUAGUUAUAACAUAGGGUGACACAGAACUAGCUCCAGUUCAUCAAUGUAAUGUAGGCAUGUAUUCCGAAUAUAGUCAUACAUGCCUUUGGAAAAGAGCUUGCAUGACAUCUUUUGUCCUACCCUCCAGUGGCAGCGGGGUCCUAUUGGAAACUAAGGGAUAUUAAGGCCUCCUUUUAAUAGUACCGGACCAAAGCAUUAACACUUAGUGAAUACAUGAACUCCUCAAAUUACGGUCAUCACCGGGAGUGGUCCCGAUUAUUGUCACUUCGGGGUUGCCGGAUCAUAACACACAGUAGGUGACUAUAGACUUGCAAGAUAGGAUCAAGAACUCACAUAUAUUCAUGAAAACAUAAUAGGUUCAGAUCUGAAAUCAUGGCACUCGGGCCCUAGUGACAAGGAUUAAGCAUAACAAAGUCAUAGCAACAUCAAUCUCAGAACAUAGUGGAUACUAGGGAUCAAACCCUAACAAAACUAACUCGAUUACAUGGUAAAUCUCAUACAACCCAUCACCGUCCAGCAAGCCUACGAUGGAAUUACUCAGGCACGGCGGUGAGCAUCAUGAAAUUGGUGAUGGAGGAUGGUUGAUGAUGACAACAGCGACGGAUUCCCCUCUCUGGAGCCCCGAACGAACUCCAGAUCAGCCCUCCCGAGAGAGUUUAGGGCUUGGCGGCGGCUCUGUAUAAUAAAACGCAAUGAAUCCUUGUCUCUGAUUUUUUCUCCCUGAACGUGAAUAUAUGGAGUUGGAGUUGAGGUCAGUGGAGCUCCAGUGAGCCCACGAGGCAGUGGGCGCGCCCCCCACCCUCGUGGACAGGGUGUGGGCCCCAUGGUGAUGAUUGUUUCGCCAGUAUUUUUUAUUAAUUCCAAAAAGUUGCUCAAUGGAUUUUUAGGUCAUUCCGAGAACUUUUAAUUCUGCACAGAAAUAACACCAUGGCAGUUCUGCUGAAAACAACGUCAGUCCGGGUUAGUUCCAUUCAAAUUAUGCAAGUUAGAGUCCAAAACAAGGGCAAAAGUGUUUGGAAAAGUAGAUACGAUGGAGACGUAUCAACUCCCCGAAGCUUAAACCUUUGCUUGUCCUCGGGCAAUUCAAUUGACAAACUGAAAGUGAUAAAGAAAAACUUUUACAAACUCUGUUUGCUCUUGUUGUUGCAAAUAUGUAAAGCCAGCAUUCAAGUUUUCAGCAAAGAUUAUGAACUAACCAUAUUCACAAUAACACUUAGGUCUCAUGUUUACUCAUAUCAAUGGCAUAAUCAACUAGCGAGCAAUAAUAAUAAAUCUCGGAUGACAACACUUUCUCAAACAAUCAUAAUAUUAUAUAACAAGAUGGUAUCUCGCUAGACCUUUCUGAGACCGCACAACAUAAAUGCAGAGUACCUCUGAAGAUCAAGGACUGACUAAACAUUGUAAUUCAUGGUAAAAGAGAUCCAGUCAUAGUCAUACUCAAUAUAAAUUAAUAGUAAUGCAUGCAAAUGACAGUGGUGCUCUCCAGCUGGUGCUAUUUAAUAAGAGGAUGAUGACUCAACAUAAAAGUAAAUAGAUAGGCCCUUCGUAGAGGGAAGCAGGGAUUUGUAGAGGUGCCAGAGCUCGAUUUUGAAAUAGAGAUAAAUAAUAUUUUGAGUGGCAUACUUUCAUUGUCAACAUAACAACCAAGAGAUCUCGAUAUCUUCCAUGCGACACACAUUAUAGGUGGUUCCCAGACAGAAUGGUAAAGUUUAUACUCCCCCUCCACCAACAAUCAUCAAUCCAUGGCUUGCCCGAAACAACGGGUGCCUCCAACUAACAACAAUCCUGGGGGAGUUUUGUUUGCAAUUAUUUUGAUUUGAUUUGAGCAUGGGACUGGGCAUCUCGGUGACCAGCCAUUUUCUCGUGAGUGAGGAGCGGAGUCCACUCCUCUUGAGAAUAACCCACCUAGCAUGGAAGAUACUGACAACCCUAGUUGAUACAUGAGUUGAUCGAGUAUACAAAACAGAAUUUCAUUUGAAGGUUUGGAGAUUGGCACAUACAAAUUUACUUGGAACGGCAGGUAGAUGCCGCAUAUAGGACAGUAUGGUGGACUCAUAUGGAAUAACUUUGGGGUUUAUGGAUUUUGGAUGCACAAGCAAUAUUCCCGCUUAGUACAAGUGAAGGCUAGAAAGAGACUGCGAAGCGACCAAUUAGAGAGCGAUAACAGUCAUGAACAUGCAUUAAAAUUAAUAGACAUUGAGUGCAAGCAUGAGUAGGAUAUAAUCCAGCAUGAACAUAAAUAUUGUGGAGGCUAUGUUGAUUUUGUUUCAACUACAUGCAUGAACAUGUGCCAAGUCAAGUCACUCGAAUCGUUCAAAGGAGGAUACCACCCUAUCAUACCACAUCACAAUCAUUUUAAUAGCAUGUUGGCACGCAAUGUAAACCAUUAUAAACUCCUAGCUAAUUAAGCAUGGCAUAAGCAGCUAUAAUCUUUAAUUGUCAUUGCAAACAUGUUUAUUCAUAAUAGGCUGAAUCAGGAACGAUGAACUAAUCAUAUUUACAAAAACAAGAUAGGUCGAGUUCGUACCAGCUUCUCUCAUCUCAAUCAGUCCAUCAUGUAUCGUCAUUAUUGCCUUUCACUUGCACGACCGAACGGUGUGGAUAAUAAUAAUAGUGCACGUGCAUUGGACUAAGCUGGAAUCUGCAAGCAUUCAAUUCAAGGGAGAAGACAAGGGAAUAUGGGCUCUUGGUUAAAUCAACAAUAAUGCAUAUGAGAGCCACUCAACAUUUUCAUCAUGGUCUUCUCCUCUCGACCCCCAAAGAAAAGAAAAGAAAUAAAACUAUUUACAUGGGAAAGCUCCCAACAAGCAAAAGAAGAACGAGAAAUAUUUUUGGGUUUUCUUUUAAUUACUACUACAAGCAUGGAAAGUAAACUAGCUAAAAGCUAUAACUAAUUUGUUUGUUUUUCUUAAGGUUAUUCAAACACACAAGAAGAAAGCAAAAAAAGGAAAUAAACUAGCAUGGAUAGACAAUGAAAAAGUAUGAGCACCGACAACUAGAAUGAGUGUGUGAACAUGAAUGUAACGUCGGUGAGAAAUACGUACUCCCCCAAGCUUUGGCUUUUGGCCUAAGUUGGUUUAUGCCCAUGGAUCAAAGUUGUAGCUUGGGUCAUACUGAGAUGCAGCAGCUACCACCUCACAAGCUGCCAACCGGGCUGCCUCCGUCCUCCUCUCAUACUCGUUCGCCUCCUCCCUGGUUAUAAUAUAUCUCCUUUUCGCCUGAAAAUCAAAGAAACCAGGAGCAGGGAGAGCAAUAUGGACAGCGCGACAUCUGUCAAAGAUUAGUCGGUAUUGGAGGAACUGUUCAUUCCUCUCUAGAAACUGAUGGCUAACCAUGGCAUUAUAAUCUAGAUAAGUAGGAGGCAACUCCAUAUCAUUUUCAUGUAUGGGUAUCUCAAGAAAAUUAGCCACAUGGGUUGCAUAAAUCCCACCAAACAAGUCUCCAUUUAAACUAUUAUUAUGCAACCUACGUGCAACAAUGGCCCCCAAGUUAUAUUGUUUAUCUCCUAGCACAGCACCCUUGAGAACACUAAGAUCAGGAACACACAUGUGACAUGCCUCGUCCUUACCAUUUAUGCAUCUACCUAUAAAGAGAGCAAAAUCAUGUAUAGCAGGAAAAUGAAUACUCCCUAUGGUAGUUUGUGCUAUUUCUCUAGAUUCCCCCACUAUGAUACUAGCAAGAAAAUCUUUAAAUUCAGAUUUGCGAGGUUCACUAGCACUACCCCAUUGCGGGAGUACAAGCAGUAUAAAAUCUUCUAAGUCCAUGGUAUAUGAUUUAUCAUAAAGAUCAAAUAGGACAUUGUGAGAAUUGCGUGAAGAUGUAAAUUUAAACCUCCUCACAAAGGAAUCAGUUAAGCGGUAAUAUUGAGGGCACUUAUCUAGCAUGAAGUCCUCCAGAUUAGCAUUAUGCACAUAUGCGUCAAAUUCAUCCUUGAUGCCUGCUUGGACCAUAAACUCCUCUGACGGCCAUUCACAAGGCCGUACUUGAGCUUCCCUCAGUAGUUCAUCAUCCUGCUCACAUAUUGCGGGCCUGGGUCCUUGCUACCUUGAAGAACCACCUUGAUAUAUUUUCCUUAACAUACUUCUUCCUCUGAAAAAUAUCUAAAAAAUUUAGUAACUCGAAAUAAAAAUGAACCAAACUCAACAAAAUUGAUAGCAACUACUCCCACAAGUGCCUAGAGACUAUAUCAUGCAUUAGAACUACUUAGGACCAAAUAAAUUUGACAUGCAAGCUCAAGAACAGGGUCACCUAGGCAGUAAAAAUUUGCAAUGAAUAGAGCACUAGAACAAAAACUAAUUGGACCAUUGGAGGAGUCACACACCAAAGAACAAUCCCCCAAAGCAGUUUUGUGAGUGGAGCUUUGAGCAAGGAGAUCGAAAAUGGCAGCAAGAUGAGCUAGAACUCGUGCUUGAGCUGGUUGGUGAUUUUUUGGGAGGAAGAAGUAGUGUGUGGGCGCAGGAAUAAGUGGAGGGGGCCACCACGGGCCCACGAGGUAGGGGGAGCGCCCUAGACCCUCGUGGCCAGGUGCUGGCUCCCCCUGCUGUGUUCAGUGCCAGAUAUUCUCAAAUAUUCUAGAAAAAAAAUAUUUCAUUUUCAGGGCAUUUGGAGAACUUUUAUUUUUGAGGUAUUUUUUAUUGCAAGGAUAAAUCAGAAAACCAACAGAAGAUACUAUUUUUGCUUUAUUUAAUCUAAAUAACAGAAAGUACAAGGAGGGUACAGAGAGUUGUGCUUUCUAACUUCAUCCAUCUCAUGCUCAUCAAAAGGAAUCCACUAACAAGGUUGAUUAAGUCUUGUUAACAAACUCAUUUCGAAUUGCAUGAAACCAAAGAAUUUUUGAAUAACACUAGGUUACCUCAACGGGGAUAUGUACAUCCCCAAUAGUAAGAAUAUCAUAUUUCUUCUUGAUAGUAGGAAGAGGAAAUUCAAAACCUCCAAUAAUAAUCGUUGGAACUUCCGAUAGAAUUGAUACUGUGAACUUGAGGUUGUUUCCUCGGAAAAUGUACCGUAUGCUCAUUACCAUUAACAUGAGAAGUGUCAUUGACUUUGUUGCAAUCAAUAACAGCCCCUGCAGUAUUCAAAAUGGGUCUACCAAGGAUAAUCGACAUACUAUCGUCCUUGGGAAUAUCAAGAAUAACAAAGUCCGUGAAGAUAGUAACGUAUGCAACCACAACAGGCACAUCCUCACAAAUACCGACAGGUAUAGCGGUUGAUUUAUCGGUCAUUUGCAAAGAUAUUUCAGUAGGUGUCAACUUAUUUAAUUCAAGUCUAUGAUAUAAAGAGAGAGGCAUAAUACUAACAUCGGCUCCAAGAUCACAUAAAGCAUUUUUAACAUAGUUUCUUUUAAUGGAGCAUGGUAUAGUUGGUACUCCUGGAUCACUAAGUUUCUUAGGUAUUCCACCCUUAAAAAUAUAAUUAGCAAGCAUGGUGGAAAUUUCAGCUUUCAGUAUCUUUCUUUUAUUUGUAACAAUAUCUUUCAUGUACUUAGCAUAAGGAUUCAUUUUAAGCAUAUCAGUCAAACGCAUACGCAAAAAUAUAGGUCUAAUCAUUUCAGGAACGUGCUCAAAAUCCUCAUCAUCCUUUUUCUUGGAUGGUUUAGGAGGAAAAGGCAUGCAUUUCUGAACCCAUGGUUCUCUUUCUUUACCGUGCUUCCUAGCAACGAAGUCUCUCUUAUCAUAAUGUUGAUUCUUUGAUUGUGGGUUAUCAAGAUCAACAGCAGGUUCAAUCUCUACAUCAUUGUUAUUGCUAGGUUGAGCAUCAACAUGAACAUCAUCAUUAACAUUAUCACUAGGUUCAUGUUCACCACCAGAUUGUGUUUCAGCAUCAGAAAUAGAAAUACCAUUGGGAUUCUCAGGUGUGUCUAUCACAGGUUCACUAGAAGCAUGCAAAGUCCUCUCAUUUUUCUUGAGAGGAUGAUCAGGCAAAGCCUUAAGUAAUCGGAGAAGCCUCCCCCAAGCUUAUGGGAGACUCUCUUCUUCAAUUUGCACAAAAUUAUAUAUUUCCCUUAAAGCAGCUUGUUUCUUAUGAGCAGGGAAAUGUUUAGCAGAGAAGUAAUAAAUCAUAUCCUCGGGACUACGCACACAACCAGGAUCAAGAGAAUUAAACCAUGUUUUAGCAUCACCCUUUAAUGAGAAUGGAAAUAGCUUAAGGAUAUAGUAGCAAUGACUUUUCUCAUCAUUAGUGAAUAGGGUUGCUAUAGCAUUCAAUUUAGUAAGAUGUGCCACAAGAGUUUCAGAUUCAUAGCCAUAAAAAGGAUCAGAUUCAACCAAAGUAAUUACUCAGGAUCGACAGAGAAAUCAUAAUCCUUAUCAGUAACACAGAUAGGUGAAGUAGCAAAAGCAGGGUCAUAUUUCAUUCUAGCAUUUAGAGCCUUUUCUUUCAGUUUAGCUAAUAAUUUCUUAAGAUCAGAUCUAUCAUUGCAAGCAAGAAAAUCUCUAGCAGUUUCUUCAUCCAUAACAUAACCCUCAGGCACAACUGGCAAUUCAUAUCUAGGGGGAGAAUCUUCAUCAUCACUUUCAUCAAUAUUAUCAGUUUCAAUGAUUUCAUUCUCUCUAGCCCUAGCAAGUUGUUCAUCAAGAAAUUCACCUAAUGGCACAGUAGUAUCAAGCAUAGAAGUAGUUUCAUCAUAAGUAUCAUGCAUAGCAGAAGUGGCAUCAUCAAUAACAUGCGACAUAUCAUAAUUAAUAGCAGAAGCAGGUUUAGGUGUCGCAAGCUUACUCAAAACAGAAGGAGAAUCAAGUGGAGAGCUAGAUGGCAGUUCCUUACCUCCCCUUGUAGUUGAGGGAAAAAUCUUAGUUCUUUCAUCUUUCAAGUUUCUCAUAGUGAUCAGCAGAUAUAAAUCCCAAGUGAUUCAAAGAAUAGAGCUAUGCUCCCCGGCAAUGGCGCCAGAAAAUAGUCUUGAUAACCCACAAGUAUAGGGGUUCGCAACAGUUUUCGAGGGUAGAGUAUUCAACCCAAAUUUAUUGAUUCGACACAAGGGGAGCCAAAGAAUAUUCUCAAGUAUUAGUUGUUGAGUUGUCAAUUCAACCACAUCUGGAUAACUUAAUAUCUGCAGGAAAGUAUUUAAUAGCAAAGUAGUAUGGUAGUAACAACAGUAGCAGUUUUGUAGUAAUUGUAACAGUGGCAACGGAAAAGUAACUAAGCAAAGAUCAAUAUGUGAAAAGCUCGUAGGCAUUGGAUCAGUGCUGGAUAAUUAUGUCGGAUGUGAUUCCUCAUGCAAUAGUUAUAACAUAGGGUGACAUAGAACUAGCUCCAGUUCAUUAAUGUAAUGUAGGCAUGUAUUCUGAAUAUAGUCAUACGUGCUUAUGGAAAAGAACUUGCAUGACAUCUUUUGUCCUACCCUCCCGUGGCAGCGGGGUCCUAUUGGAAACUAUGGGAUAUUAAGGCCUCCUUUUAAUAGAGUAUUGGACCAAAGCAUUAACACUUAGUGAAUACAUGAACUCCUCAAUCUACAAUCAUCACCGGGAGUUGUCCCGAUUAUUAUCACUUCGGGGUUGCCGGAUCAUAACACACAGUAGGUGACUAUAGACUUGCAAGAUAGGAUCAAGAACUCACAUAUAUUCAUGAAAACAUAAUAGGUUCAGAUCUAAAAUCAUGGCACUCGGGGCCUAGUGACAAGCAUUAAGCAUAGCAAAGUCAUAGCAACAUCAACCUCAGAACAUAGUGGAUACUAGGGAUCAAACCCUAACAAAACUAACUCGAUUACAUGGUAAAUCUCAUCCAACCCAUCACCGUCCAACAAGCCUACGAUGGAAUUACUCACGCACGGUGGUAAGCAUCAUGAAAUUGGUGAUGGAGGAUGGUUGAUGAUGACGACGGCGACGGAUUCCCUUCUCCGAAGCCCCGAACGGACUCCAGAUCAGCCCUCCUGAGAGAGUUUAGGGCUUGGCGGCGGCUCCAUAUCGUAAAACGCGAUGAAUCCUUCUCUCUGAUUUUUUCUCCCCGAACGUGAAUAUAUGGAGUUGGAGUUGAGGUCGGUGGAGCUCCAGGGGGCCCACGAGGCAGGGGGCGCGCCCUAGGUGGGUGGGCGCGUCCCCCACCCUCGUGGACAGGGUGUGGGCCCCCUGGUGUUGAUUCUUUUGAAAGUAUUUUUGAUUAAUUCCAAAAAGUUGCUCCGUGGAUUUUCAGGUCAUUCUGAGAACUUCUUUUUUCUACACAAAAAUAACACCAUGGUAGUUCUGCUGAAAACAGUGUUAGUCCGGGUUAGUUCCAUUCAAAUCAUGCAAGUUAGAGUCCAAAAACAAGGGCGAAAGUGUUUGGAAAUGUAGAUAUGAUGGAGACGUAUCAAUAAUAUCAAUGACAGUCGGCACACUCUCGUCAACCUCAUGGGUUUGGUGGGCGGUCUUGUCAUCAUCAUCAAGCAGGAUCCUGUCAGUUGGUGUUGCACUCACAUGAGUAAUAAGACAUCAGCCUAUGGGUCACUCAGACAAGAUUCGGAGAAUGAACCAGCCAGUACCUUUGGAAGUGGCAGCGUCCGUGGCGUUGGCUUCAGUCUGGCCCUUCCAGGGGGCAUUCAGGUCCAGAGAAUUCGUCGACGUCCCAUUGGUACAGUCAUAGGAUCACUUGGCUAUCAGUCAAGACAAAUUUGCACAAAGAAAGAAUGAUGUCUCUAACACUUACGCCGAAGCCACUAGCACAACCACCUUGAUCUUCGGCGGGACAGUCUUUCGAGGCUUGGCAGAAACGUGCUUGGGUUGCUUGGGUCGCUUCUCAGCUGACUCCGUAGACUCGGCCCUGCCUGAAUGCCACCCGCGCGAGCACUCAGAUCAUGGUGCGCUUUGGUGUGAGGCUCCUUGGGAACUUCUUCUGAUGGGAAGGACUCUGCCUCCUCACCGUCCUCGGUGCUCUCCUCCUCAUCGUUCUCCUUCUCCUUAGAACAGUGACGCUCGGUGUCGCUCGCCACAUCCCCCGGGGCGUGGUCGACACUCGGUACCUACAAAAUCAUCUUCUGGAAGCUCUGCUGAAAAGAAAUCACAUUGAAAUAAGAUCCAAGCAUGAGAAAGUCGUCCAGAGAAUGACUCAGCUGGUCUAGACGCAAACUUACAUCAAGAGGCGGAUGCUCCUGGCCGUAAGCGGGCACUUUCCUGGUGCCCUGCGGGUUGUCUCGUGCGGACGUGAUGGCCUUGAGCUUAUCCUCUAUGGCCUUCUCAGUGAAGUCCUUGUGAUGAACUCGAGUCGGAUCACCCAGCCCGGUGUACAUCCACAUGGGGUGCGCCUGCAGCGGUUGGAUCCGCCGACUAAGGAACACCUCCAGCAGGUCCAUACCCUCAACCCCGGCCCUCAUGACUUCGACCAGGGCGUCGACUAGAAUACCUACAUCUACUUUCAACUCCAUGGCUACCUAAAGGAACAGGGAAGCAGCAACUCUCGCCCUCGAGUACAGGGGAAGUCCAGUCAGAGAUCCAGCACUUGGGACGUCCCUGUGAUACGUCUCCAUCGUAUCUACUUUUCCAAACACUUUUGCCCUUGUUUUGGACUCUAACUUGCAUGAUUUGAGUGGAACUAACCCGGACUGACGUUGUUUUCAGCAGAAUUGCCAUGGUGUUAUUUUUGUGCAGAAAUAAAAGUUCUCGGAAUGACCUGAAACUCCACGGAGAAUAUUUUUGGAAUUAAUAAAAAAUACUGGCAAAAGAAUCAAGGUCAGGGGGCCCACACCCUUUCCACGAGGGUGGGGGCGCGCCUACCCCCCUGGGCGCACCCCCCUGCCUCGUGGGCCCCCUGAUGCUCCACCAACCUCAACUCCAACUCUAUAUAUUCACGUUCGAGGAGAAAAAAAUAAGAGAGAAGGAUUCAUCGCAUUUUACGAUACGGAGUCGCCGCCAAGCCCUAAUCUCUCUUGGGAGGGCUAGUCUGGAGUCCGUUUGGGGCUCCGGGGAGGGGAAUCCGUCGUCGUCGUCAUCAUCAACCUUCCUCCAUCACCAAUUUCAUGAUGCUCACCGCCGUGCGUGAGUAAUUCCAUCGUAGGCUUGCUGGACGGUGAUGGGUUGGAUGAGAUUUACCAUGUAAUUGAGUUAGUUUUGUUAGGGUUUGAUCCCUAGUAUCCAUUAUGUUCUAAGAUUGAUGUUGCUAUGACUUUGCUAUGCUUAAUGCUUGUCACUAGGGCCCGAGUGCCAUGAUUUCAGAUCUGAACCUGUUAUGCUUUCAUGAAUAUAUGUGAGUUCUUGAUCCUAUCUUGCAAGUCAAUAGUCACCUACUAUGUGUUAUGAUCCUGCAACCCCGAAGUGGCAAUAAUCGGGACCACUCCCAGUGAUGACCGUAGUUUGAGGAGUUCAUGUAUUCACUAAGUGUUAAUGCUUUGGUUCGGUACUCUAUUAAAAGGAGGCCUUAAUAUCCCUUAGUUUCCAAUAGGACCCCCGCUGCCAUGGGAGGGUAGGACAAAAGAUGUCAUGCAAGUUCUUUUCCAUAAGCAUGUAUGACUAUAUUCGGAAUACAUGCCUACAUUACAUUGAUGAACUGGAGCUAGUUCUGUGUCACCCUAUGUUAUAACUAUUGUGUGAGGAAUCGCAUCCGACAUAAUUAUCCAUCACUGAUCCAAUGCCUACGAGCAUUUCACAUAUUGAUCUUUGCUUAGUUACUUUACUGUUGCCACUGUUACAAUUACUACAAAACUGCUACUGUUACUUUUUCUACCGUUACCAUUACUUCCAUAUUGCUUUGCUACUAAAUACUUUGCUGCGGAUAUUAAGUUAUCUAGGUGUGGUUGAAUUGACAACUCAACUGCUAAUACUUGAGAAUAUUCUUUGGCUCCCCUUGUGUCGAAUCAAUAAAUUUGGGUUGAAUACUCUACCCUCGAAAACUGUUGUGAUCCCCUAUACUUGUGGGUUAUCAAGACUAUUUUCUGGCGCCGUUGUCGGGGAGCAUAGCUCUAUUCUUUGAGUCACUUGGGAUUUAUAUCUGCUGAUCACUAUGCGGAACUUGAAAGACGAGAAAACCAAGAUUUAUCCCUCAACUACAAGGGGAGGUAAGGAACUGCCAUCUAGGUCUGCACUUGAUUCUCAUUCUGUUUUGAGUAAACUUGCGACAGCUAAACCUGCUUCUGCUAUUAAUUCUGAUAUGUCGCAUGUUAUUGAUGAUGCCACUUCUGCUAUGUGUGAUGCUUAUGAUGAAACUAUUUCUAUGCUUGAUAAUAUUGUGCCAUUAGAUGAAUUUCUUGAUGAACAACUUGCUAGGGCUAGAGAGAAUGAAAUUAUUGAAACUGAUAAUACUGAUGAAAGUGAUGAUGAAGAUUCUCCCCCUAGAUAUGAAUUGCCUGUUGUGCCUGAGGGUUAUGUUAUGGAUGAAGAAACUGCUAGAGAUUUUCUUGCUUGCAAUGAUAGAUCUGAUCUUAAGAAUUUAUUAGCUAAGCUGAAAGAAAAGUCUCUGAAUGCUAGAAUGAAAUAUGACCCCGCUUUUGCUACUUCACCUAUCUGUAUUACUGAUAAGGAUUAUGAUUUCUCUAUUGAUCUUGAGAUAAUUACUUUGGUUGAAUCUGAUCCUUUUUAUGGUUACGAAUCUGAAACUGUUGUGGCACAUGUUGGGAAACGUUGUAAUUUCAAAAAAAAAUCUACGCACACGCAAGAUCACGGUGAUGCAUAGCAACGAGAGGGGAGAGUGUUGUCCACGUACCCUCAUAGACCGAAAGCAGAAGCAUUAGCAUAACACGGUUGAUGUAGUCGUACGUCUUCACGAUCCGACUGAUCAAGUACCGAACGUACGGCACCUCUGAGUUCAGCACACGUUCAGCUUGAUGACGUCCCACGAACUCCGAUCCAGCAGAGCUUUGCGGGAGAGUUCCGUCAACACAACGGCGUGAUGGCGGUGUUGAUGAUGCUACCGACGCAGGGCUGCUACGGGCUGAGUUAUGUCUUGACCAUAUCACAUCACAACAUGCCCUGCAAAAACAAGUUAGACGUCCUCUACUUUGUUGUUGCAAGUUUUACGUGGCUGCUACGGGCUGAGCAAGAACCGUUCUUACCUACGCAUCAAAACCACAACGAUAUUUCGUCAAGUUAGUGUUGUUUUAACCUUCUCAAGGAUCGGGCGUAGCCACACUCAGUUCAACUAAAGUUGGAGAAACUGACACCCGCCAGCCACCUAUGUGCAAAGCACGUCGGUAGAACCAGUCUCACGUAAGCGUACGCGUAAUGUCGGUCCGGGCCGCUUCAUCCAACAGUACCGCUGAACCAACGUAUGACAUGCUAGUAAGCAGUAUGACUUAUAUCGCCCACAACUCACUUGUGUUCUACUCGUGCAUAUAACAUCUACGCAUAAAACCAGGCUCUAAUGCCACUGUUGAGGAAUGUAGUAAUUUCAAAAAAAUUCCUACGCACACGCAAGAUCAUGGUGAUGCAUAGCAACGAGAGGGGAGAGUGUUGGCCACGUACCCUCGUAGACCAAAAGCGGAAGCGUUUGCACAACGCGGUUGAUGUAGUCGUACGUCUUCACGAUCCGACCGAUCAAGUACCGAACAUACGGCACCUCCGAGUUCAGCACACAUUCAGCUCGAAGACGUCCCAUGAACUCCGAUCUAGCAGAGCUUUGCGGGAGAGUUCCGUCAGCAUGACGGCGUGAUGACGGUGUUGAUGAUGCUACCGACGCAGGGCUUUGCCUAAGCACAGCUACGAUAUUACCGAGGUGGAAUAUGGUGGAGGGGGGCACCGCACACAGCUAAGAGACCAAUGAUCAAUUGUUGUGUCUAGAGGUGUCCCCCUGCCCCCGUAUAUAAAGGAGGAAGAGGAGGAGGGGGCGGCCAAGGAGGAGGAGGCGCGCCCAAGGGGGGCAAUCCUACUCCAAGUAGGAUUCCCCCCUCUUUCCUAGUACAAGUAGGAGAGGGGAAGGAAGGGGAGGAGAAGAAGAAGGAAAGGGGGGCCGGCCCCCUAGUCCAAUUCGGUUUGGGCUAGGGGGGCACGCGCCCCUAGUUGGCCACCUCUCCUCUUCCUCCACAAGGGCCCAUGAGGCCCAAUAACCCCCCGGGAGGUUCCGGUAACCUCCCGGUUCUCCGGUAUUUAUUCGAUAACCCCCGGAACUCAUCCGGUGUCCGAAUAUAACCUUCCAAUAUAUCAAUCUUAUUGUCUCGACUAUUUCGAGACUCCUUGUCAUGUCCGUGAUCACAUCCAGGACUCUGAACUACCUUCGGUGCAUCAAAAACACAAAAACUCAUAAUACCGAUCGUCACCGAACUUUAAGAGUGCGGACCCUACGGGUUCGAGAACUAUGUAGACAUGACCGAGACACGUCUCCGGUCAAUAACCAAUAGCGGAACAUGGAUGCUCAUAUUGGCUCCUACGUAUUCUACGAAGAUCUUUAUCGGUCAAACCGCAACAACAUACAUUGUUCCCUUUGUCAUCGGCAUAUUACUUGCCCGAGAUUCGAUCGUCGGUAUCUCAAUACCUAGUUCAAUCUCGUUACCGGCAAGUCUCUUUACUCGUUACGUAAUGCAUCAUCCCACAACUAACUCAUUAGAUACAUUGCUUGCAAGGCUUAUAGUGAUGUGCAUUACUGAGAGGGCCCAGAGAUACCUCUCCGACAAUCGGAGUGACAAAUCCUAAUCUCGAAAUAUGCCAACUCAAUAAGUACCUUUGGAGACACCUGUAGAGCUCCUUUAUAAUCACCCAGUUACGUUGUGAUGUUUGGUAGCACACAAAGUGUUCCUCCGGUAAACGGGAGUUGCAUAAUCUCAUAGUCAAAGGAACAUGUAUCGGUCAUGAAGAAAGCAAUAGCAACAUACUAAACGAUCAAGUGCUAAGCUAACGGAAUGGGUCAAGUCAAUCACAUCAUUAUCCUAAUGAUGUGAUCCCCAUAAUCAAAUGACAACUCAUGUCUAUGGCUAGGAAACUCAACCAUCUUUGAUCAACGAGCUAGUCAAGUAGAGGCAUACUAGUGACACUAUGUUUGUCUAUGUAUUAACACAUGUAUUAUGUUUCCGGUUAAUACAAUUCUAGCAUGAAUAAUAAACAUUUGUCAUGAUAUGAGGAAAUAAAUAAUAACUUUAUUAUUGCCUCUAGGGCAUAUUUCCUUCAGCACAUCUUACUAAACUGAAUGAUAUAGCCACCCUAUUCACUCACGAGGAAAAAAAUUCGUUACUACUAUAUCCUUAAGCUAUUUACAUUCUCAUUAAAGGGUGAUGAUAAAACAUGGUUUAGUUCUCUUAAUCCUGGUUGUGUGCGUAGUCCCCGGGAUAUGAUUUAUUACUUCUCUGCUAAAUAUUUCCCCGCUCAUAAGAAACAAGUUGCCAUAAGGGAAAUAUAUAAUUUUGUGCAAGUUAAAGAAGAGAGUCUCCCACAAGCUUGGGGGAGGCUUCUCCAAUUACUUAAUGCUUUCCUGAUCAUCCUCUCAAGAAAAAUGAAAAUACUUGAUAUCUUUUAUAAUGGAAUAACCGAUGCUUCCAAAGACCACCUGGAUAGUUGUGCUGGUUGUGUUUUCAGGGAAAGAACUGUUGAUCAAGCUGAAUUGCUAUUGAAUAAUAUGUUGACUAACGAAAAUAAUUGGACACUUCCUAAACCAGCUCCGAAGCCAACUCUGAAGAAAAGGGGUAUUCUAUUUCUCAGUCCUGAAGAUAUGCAAGAGGCAAAGAAAUCUAUGAAAGAAAAGGGUAUUAAAACUGAAGAUGUUAAGAAUUUACCGCCUAUUUAAGAAAUACAUGGUCUUGAUAACCCGACACAGGUAGUAAAGGUAAAUUCUCUCUAUAGAUUUUAUGAAGGUGAUAUUCCUCGUCUUAAGUUUGCUAGUCAAUGCUUGGAUGAGUUUGAUAAUUUUAUUGUUAAGCAAGAAAACUUCAAUGCUUAUCUUGGGAGACAAUUGAAAAGAAAUGCUUAUAUGAUUGAACACUUGAGUGAUUAUAUGUCUAGAGUUAAAGGUGAACUUAAACUUAUUAGUAAACAUGCUUCUAUGGUUACCACUCAAGUAGAACAAGUGCUUAAAGCUCAAAAUGAUUUGCUCAAUGAAUUAAAUAACAAGAAAAAUGAUAAUGCUAUUAGAGUUGUGACUAGAGGUGGUAGAAUGACUCGGGAACCUUUGUAUCCUGAGGGCCACCCUAAGAGAAUUGAGCAAGAUUCUCACAGAACUAAUGUUGAUGCACCUAGUCCUUAUAAAAAGAACAAAAAGAAAAAUAGGACUUUGCAUGCUUCUAGUGAACCUGUUUUAGACACACCUGAGAAUCCCAAUGAUAUUUCUAUUUCUGAUGCUGAAACACAAUCUGGUGAUGAACAUGAACCUAGUGAUAAUGCUAAUGAUAAUGUUCAUGUUGAUGCUCAACCUAGCAAUAACAAUGGUGUAGAGAUUGAACCUGUUGUUGAUCUUGGUAACCCACAAUCAAAGAAUCAACAUUAUGAUAAAAGAGACUUCAUUGCUAGGAAGCACUGUAAAGAAAGAGAACCAUGGGUUCAUAAACCCAUGCCUUUUCCUCCUAAACCAUCCAAGAAAAAGGAUGAUGAGGAUUUUGAGCGCUUUGCUGAAAUGAUUAGACCUAUCUUUUUGUGUAUGUGUUUGACUGAUAUGCUUAAAAUGAAUCAUUAUGCUAAUUACAUGAAAGAUAUUGUUACAAAUAAAAGAAAGAUACAGGAAGCUGAAAUUUCCACCAUGCUUGCUAAUUAUACUUUUAAGGGUGGAAUACCAAAGAAACUAGGAGAUCCGGGAGUACCAACUAUACCAUGCUCCAUUAAAAGAAACUAUGUUAAAACUGCUUUAUGUGAUCUUGGAGCCGGUGUUAGUGUUAUGCCUCUCUCUUUAUCAUAGACUUGAAUUGAAUAAGUUGAAACCUACUAAAAUAUCUGUGCAAAUGGCUGAUAAAUCAACCGCUAUACCUUUAGGUAUUUGUGAGGAUGUGCCUGUUGUGGUUGCAAAUGUUACUAUCUUAACGGACUUUGUUAUUCUUGAUAUUCCCGAGGACGAUAGUAUGUCGAUUAUCCUUGGUAGACCCUUUUUGAAUACUGCAGGGGCUAUUAUUGAUUGCAACAAAGGCAAUGUCACUUUUCAUGUUAAUGGUAAUGAGCAUACAGUACACUUUCCGAGGAAACAACCUCAAGUUCAUAGUAUCAAUUCUAUUGGAAAAAUUCCAUCGAUUAUUAUUGGAGGUUUUGAAUUUCCUCUUCCUACUCUCAAGAAGAAAUAUGAUAUUCUUAUUAUUGGGGAUGUACAUAUCCCCGUUGAGGUAACCUAGUGUUAUUCGAAAUUUCUCCGGUUCCAUGUUAUUCGAAAAGAGUUUGUUAACAAGACUUGAUCAACCUUGUUAGUGGAUUCCUUUUGAUGAGCAUGAGAUGGAUGAAGUUAGAAAGCACAACCUUCUGUACCCUCUUUUUACAUUCUGUUAUUUAGAAUUAAAUAAAGCAAAAAUAGUAUUUUCUGUCUGUUUUCUGAAUUAUCCUUGCAAUAAAAAAAUACCCCAAAAAUAAAAGUUCUCCAAAUGCCCUGAAAAUGAAAUAUGAUUUUUUUCUAGAAUAUUUGAGAAUAUUUGGCACUGAAAACACAUCAGGGGGAGCCANNNNNNNNNNNNNNNNNNNNNNNNNNNNNNNNNNNNNNNNNNNNNNNNNNNNNNNNNNNNNNNNNNNNNNNNNNNNNNNNNNNNNNNNNNNNNNNNNNNNNNNNNNNNNNNNNNNNNNNNNNNNNNNNNNNNNNNNNNNNNNNNNNNNNNNNNNNNNNNNNNNNNNNNNNNNNNNNNNNNNNNNNNNNNNNNNNNNNNNNNNNNNNNNNNNNNNNNNNNNNNNNNNNNNNNNNNNNNNNNNNNNNNNNNNNNNNNNNNNNNNNNNNNNNNNNNNNNNNNNNNNNNNNNNACUUAUUCCUGCACCCACACACUUUGUCUUCCUCCAGAAAAAAUCACCACACAACUCACACUCGUGUUCUAGCUCGUUUUGCUGCAAUUUUCGAUCUCCUUGCUCAAAGCUCCAUUCACGAAACUGUUUUGGGGGAUUGUUCUUAGGUAUCUGACUCCUCUAAUGGUCCAAUUAGUUCUUGUUUUAGUGCUUUAUUUAUUGCAAAUUUUUGCUGCUAAGGUGACCCUGUUCUUGAGCUUGCAUGUCAAAUUUAUAUGUCCCAAAGUAGUUUUAAUGCAUGAUAUAGUCUCUAGGCACUUAUGGGAGUGGUUUCUAUCAAUCUUGUUGAGUUUUGUUUACUUUUAUUGUGAGUCACUAAAAAUUUCAGAAAUUUUCAGAGGAAGAAAAUCUUGAGGAGAUUGUUGAGAGGCUCUUCGAGCCAAAGCUCGAAGGAUAAAUAAAAUGAGGAGAAUAAAAAGCCCAAAUACAAUUUGCCUCGCACUCCGGAGGUUCGGCCGUGCGAAUGGCCCUACGAAGAAUUCUUGAGAGCCACCGGAAUUUAUGAUGAUUUUUAUUACUUGGCCGAGAAUGCAGGCCUCACCGACUUCCUUCACGACCAGCGCGAAUAGUACCUCCUACUCACUGAUAUUUUCGUGCAAAAUUUUUACUUUCAUGCUAGGAAAUCACCACCUUCGGUGGAGUUUCAUUUAUAUGAUGAGGUUAAGGAGAUGUCACUAUAUGAUUUUUGUCGGGUCUGCAAGAUACCCUUUGAGGGCAGCAUAGAGGAACCACAUCGUAAUGAUGUGGAGGGAUUUAUUAAUGAAAUUGUUGUAGGGAAACAAGAAAAGUUUCAGUCCGUUUAUAAGUGGGAUCCGGAGGAUAUCGCCAACCAGUAGCACCCAGAUGACACUCCUCUACACACCGGAGAGGGCAGCUUCGAUCCAUGGGCAUAGACCAACUUAGGCCAAAAGCCUAAGCUUGGGGGAGUACGUAUUUCUCACCGACAUUACAUUCAUGUUCACACACUCAUUCUAGUUGUCGGUGCUCAUACUUUUUCAUUGUACCAUCCAUGCUAGUUUAUUUUGUUUUCUAAGUCUUCUUCUUGUGUGUUUGAAAAAUCUUAAGAAAAACCAACAAAAUUAGCUAGUUCACUUUCCAUGCUUGUAGUAGUAGUAAUUAAAAGAAAACCCAAAAAGAUUUCUCAUUCUUCUUUUGCUUGUGGGAGCUGUCCCGUGUAAAUAGUUUUUCUUUGGGGGUCGAGAGGAGAAGACCAUGAUGAAAAUGUUGAGUGGCUCUUAUAUGCAUCAUUGUUGAUUUAACCAAGAUCCCAUAUUACCUUGUCUUCUCCUGUGUAUUAAAAUGCUUGCAGAUUCCAACUUAGUCGAAUGCACAUGCACUAUUAUUAUUUUCUACAACGUUCGGUCGUGCAAGUGAAAGGCAAUAAUGACGAUAUAUGAUGGACUGAGUGAGACGAGAAAAGCUGGUAUGAACUCGACCUAUCUUGUUUUUGUAAAUAUGAUUAGUUCAUCGUUCCUGAUUCAGCCUAUUAUGAAUAAACAUGUUUGCAAUGACAAUUAGAGAUUAUAGUUGCUCAUGCCAUGUUUAAUUAGCUAGGAGUUUAUAAUGGUUUACCUUGUGUGCCAACAUGCUAUUAAAAUGGUUGUGAUGUGGUAUGAUAGGGUGGUAUCCUCCUUUGAACGAUUCGAGUGGCUUGACUUGGCACAUGUUCACGCAUGUAGUUGAAACAAAAUCAACAUAGCCUCCACGAUAUUUAUGUUCAUGGUGAUUUAUAUCCUACUCAUGCUUGCACUCAGUGUUGAUUAAUUUUAAUGCAUGUUCAUGACUGUUGUCGCUCUCUAGUUGGUCGCUUCCCAGUCUUUUUAUAGCCUUCACUUGUACUAAGCGGGAAUACUGCUUGUGCAUCCAAAAUCCAUAAAUCCCAAAGUUAUUCCAUAUGAGUCCACCAUACCUUCCUAUAUGUGGUAUCUACCUGCCGUUCCAAGUAAAUUUGUAUGUGUCAAACUCUAAACCCUCAAAUGAAAUUCUGUUUUGCAUGCUCGAAUAGCUCAUGUAUCAACUAGGGUUGUCUGUAUCUUCCAUGCUAGGCGGGUUAUUCUCAAGAGGAGUGGACUCCGCUCCUCACUCACGAGAAAAUUGAUGGUCACCGGGAUGCCCAGUCCCAUGCUCAAAUCAAAUCAAAAUAAUUGCAAACAAAACUCCCCCAGGAUUGUUGUUAGUUCGAGGCACCCGUUGUUUCGGGCAAGCCAUGGAUUGAUGAUUGUUGGUGGUGGGGGAGUAUAAACUUUACCAUUCAGUCUGGGAACCGCCUAUAAUGUGUGUAGCAUGGAAGAUAUCGAGAUCUCUCAGUUGUUAUGUUGACAAUGAAAGUAUGCCGCUCAAAAUAUUAUUUAUCUUUGUUUCAAAAUCAAGCUCUGGCACCUCUACAAAUCCCUGUUUCCCUCUGCGAAGCGCCUAUCUAUUUACUUUUAUGUUGAGUCAUCCUCCUCUUAUUAAAAAGCACCAGUUGGAGAGCACCACUGUCAGUUGCAUGCAUUACUAUUAAUUUAUAUUGAGUAUGACUACGAUUGGAUCUCUUUUACCAUGAAUUACAAUGUUUAGUCAGUCCUUGAUCUUCAGGGGUGCUCUGCAUUUAUGUUUUGCGGUCUCAGAAAGGGCAAGUGAGAUACCAUCUUGUCAUAUCAUAUUAUGAUUGUUUUGAGAAAGUGUUGUCAUCCUAGAUUUAUUAUUAUUGCUCGCUAGUUGAUUAUGCCAUUGAUAUGAGUAAACAUGAGACCUAAGGGUUAUUGUGAAUAUGGUUAGUUCAUAAUCUUUGCUGAAAACUUGAAUGUUGGCUUUACAUAUUUGCAACAACAAGAGCAAAGAGAGUUUGUAAAAGUUUUUCUUUAUCACUUUCAGUUUGUCAACUGAAUUGCUUGAGGACAAGCAAAGGUUUAAGCUUGGGGGAGUUGAUACGUCUCCAUCGUAUCUACUUUUCCAAACACUUUUGCCCUUGUUUUGGACUCUAACUUGCAUGAUUUGAAUGGAACUAACCCGGACUAACGAUGUUUUCAGCAGAAUUGCCAUGGUGUUAUUUUUGUGCAGAAAUAAAAGUUCUCGGAAUGACCUGAAACUCCACGGAGAAUAUUUUUGGAAUUAAUAAAAAAUACUGGCAAAAGAAUCAAGGUCAGGGGGCCCACACCCUGUCCACGAGGGUGGGGGCGUGCCUAUCCCCUGGGCGCGCCCCCUGCCUCGUGGGCCCCCUGAUGCUCCACCGACCACAACUCCAACUCUAUAUAUUCACGUUCGGGGAGAAAAAAUAAGAGAGAAGGAUUCAUUGCGUUUUACGAUACGGAGCCGUCACCAAGCCCUAAUCUCUCUCGGGAGGGCUGAUCUGGAGUCCGUUCGGGGCUCCGGAGAGGGGAAUCCGUCGUCGCCGUCAUCAUCAACCUUCCUCCAUCACCAAUUUCAUGAUGCUCACCGCCGUGCAUGAGUAAUUCCAUCGUAGGCUUGCUGGACGAUGAUGGGUUGGAUGAGAUUUACCAUGUAAUCAAGUUAGUUUUGUUAGGGUUUGAUCCCUAGUAUCCAUUAUGUUCUAAGAUUGCUGUUUCUAUGACUUUGCUAUGCUUAAUGCUUGUCAAUAGGGCCCGAGUGCCAUGAUUUCAUAUCUGAACCUAUUAUGUUUUGAUGAAUAUAUGUGAGUUCUUGAUCCUAUCUUGCAAGUCAAUAGUCACCUACUAUGUGUUAUGAUCUGGCAACCCCGAAGUGACAAUAAUCGGGACCACUCCCGGUGAUGACCGUAGUUUGAGGAGUUCAUGUAUUCAGUAAGUGUUAAUGCUUUGGUCCGGUACUCUAUUAAAAGGAGGCCUUAAUGUUCCUUAGUUUCCAAUAGGACCCCGCUGCCACGGGAGGGUAGGACAAAAGAUGUCAUGCAAGUUCUUUUCCAUAAGCACGUAUGACUAUAUUCGGAAUACAUGCCUACAUUACAUUGAUGAACUGGAGCUAAUUCUGUGUCACCCUAUGUUAUAACUAUUGCAUGAGGAAUCGCAUCCGACAUAAUUAUCCAUCACUGAUCUAAUGCCUACGAGCUUUUCACAUAUUGAUCUUUGCUUAGUUACUUUACCGUUGCCACUGUUACAAUUACUACAAAACUGCUACUGUUACUUUUGCUACCAUUACUGUUACUUCCAUAUUACUUUGCUACUAAAUACUUUGCUGCAGAUAUUAAGUUAUCCAGGUGUGGUUGAAUUGACAACUCAACUGCUAAUACUUGAGAAUAUUCUUUGGCUCCCCUUGUGUCGAAUCAAUAAAUUUUGGUUGAAUACUCUACCCUCGAAAACUGUUGCGAUUCCCUAUACUUGUGGGUUAUCACCCUGCAGUAAAACCAACUGUCCUGUCAGCCCUUGAUGGAUUCAAGGAAGCUCAUCUUGGGGAAGGCGCUCCGCCCCCUAAGCUGUAUGCCCAGUCCGCCGCACUACUGGGCCGCGUUGGUCUUCGCCCCAUCCGGUGAAUCCUUCUUCACGGUCAUCGACCGGCAGGUGAAAAUGUGCAUGAACAGCCCCCAGUGGGGGUAGCAACCGAUGAAAUUCUCACAGAGUGAGACAAAAGCAAAGAGAUAGGCGAUGACAUUCGGCGGAAGGUGGUGGAGCUACACCCCGAAGAAGUCCAGGAACACGCAGAAAAAAAGGAAGGGGUGGCAAAGAAAUACCUCUCUCGAUGUGGGUGACAAGGAAGACCCACUCGUCUGCCUAUGACGCGGGCCAGCUCGUCUGCCUCCGCCAGGCUCCAGCGGCCCUCCGGAAUCAACCUAUCAUCCUUCAAUUCUAGCAAUCGCUUCCUUGUGACCCGAGAGUGGAUCCAGUCCCCCUGGGUUCGGCCCGCCGGCGGACCUCCACUCAACGACGCGCCCUUCCCCGCCUUCUCCAGCCUCGCUGUUGAGUCCUUUCCCAUUCUCUUGCAGUGGGCUGACGCCCAGGGUGGGGGCAGAGGAGUAGAGGAACAACGGAGUGGGCGAGGUGAAAUGGGGAUUUCUACCCUCUGGCCUAGUCCGUUCGCUCUUUAUACCGCGGGUAAAUCCGCCCCCUGAAUCUCCGACCAUCGAUCUCUGGGUCCAACGGCGCCCGUCGCAUUCAGCACGUAGAGGAAACAGGGCACGUGGCGGAUUUCUCGAGCGGAAAUCAAGGUGUCGUGCUCCACUUUCCCACUAGUCGCGGCACAACCGCUUCCACGCUCGCACACGAAAUUUCAAACCGCGAGAUUCUCGCCGCAAUUCAACCCAAUUGAUCUCUUCCAAUUCAUUUCCUAAAGAACACUCAUCGGUCCGACCGAUUGCCCUCCAAGGGUCACCGUGCAGUCAGACACGUAAUCAAACCUGACUGAGUUCAUCUUCAGGAUUGCGAUGGGAUGAGCUCGACGCCCCUCUAUAGGUUAACUUGGCCCUUCUUUUUUUUAGAGAAAAGGCCGUUCUUCCAGGCUCCAAGGCGCUAGCCUCAUAUUUGGAAUCUAAGAUGGCCCACGCUGGCGUUCCCCCGCGAUAAUGAGUGGCGUCUCUCCGAAGAAUCAGACCACAUGCCGAUCGUCGCCACUCGAGUUACAUGGCAUGUCCUCAUUCGGACCUCUAGUCUAUCUCUCCCGAGAGAUCACUAGCAUCCGUCCGCUGUACACAUGAGAAUCCUCUACAAUGCAACAUGUAGUAAUGUAUUCUAAGUGGGUUUUAAUUGUGACGUGUAUAAUUUUUCAUGUGAAGAUCUUUUUACUUAUGCAAAAAUUUCUCUCUUAGUUUAAAUCGUAAGGACUGAAUUAGUAUUCUACACAGACUAUAUAUAAAUAUUAGAAAACUAUAUAUAUCCAAUUUCACGGUGACGAGCGGGGUAUCAAGUAUGACGUGAACAGUUGGUCCGGUUAACCUUUUCUUUUCAAGUCGUGUAUUGAAUUGUGUGCUUAGAUGCAUCUUGUACCAAUAUUUCCAAGAAAAUCCUUUUUUUAUGUCUUUUUGGGAAGCAUCGUAUAUGUUCUUGAUAAAAAAAAUAUCACUGGGUAACUAAAAUAACUUAGUUGGUUAUAUGUAAAUGGUAUCAUUAAAAGAAGAAGAAAUCAUAGCACAACAUAGUUUAUAAUUAUCAAAUUUGGAAGCUGCAAAGUACAAAAAAACACAUAUUUUUUGAAACUGAAGGAUUAUGUUGUACUCUCAAAGGAGAAAAUGUGUAGGCUUUUUUUCUUUUUUGAAGCACUUGUUCUACGGUGAAUUUUUCAUAUACCAAAGAAAGCAAAGCAGAUACUGGUUGUAUCCUUUAUAUAUAAAGGUGUAACUGAUUGUUCAGAUAGUUUGUGAAUCUCCUCAUCUACAAAUAUAUCCCUGGAGCGCAAGUGCGUGAGCAGAGCGCUGAGAGUGCAAGGUACGACUAGUGCGCGACGAGGAAUCAUCAACCAAUCAAUCAGAGAGGCAGGCAGCAUCAAAGAUAUCUUGGCCUGGAAGACUCCUCCCUUCCUCCCUCCCUCUAGUCUAGGUUCCCCAAAUAUAUAGGCAGUCAAAGAUGGCCGGGAGGAGAGGAAAAAGCAGCCGGCAGCGAGGUAGGCGAGGCGAGUGCCUCCCAUGUGACCCGAUCCCUCUCCGGUUCAGCGCCCACCGGCGCGGCCUCCGAGGCCGGCGUCUCGUCGCGGCAGCUUUUGGUUGGCUCCCUGCCGGGCCAAAUCUAGGGUAAAGCUACCGCCGGCCACUGCCGACCCGGCGGGAAGGACGAGCUGCAGGCACGGCAAGGCAAAGCUCGCAUGCUGCCGCGACGGGCUGGGUUCUAGGCUUCUACUAGCUCGGAAGAAUCAAAUGGAAUUGCGCUGCAGGCAAGAAACGCUUUAUAUGCUUCGAGACCAAGGAAAAACUCCUCUCCUGCCGAUUCCUUCUCGCCCUCGACCGACCGGCCGUCAAACGGAAGCCGGACGUGACUGCCAUUGUGACUGGGGUGACUCUGAGAGGCUCCUGAACGAACAAAAGCGGUCGCACCAUGCCACCGACUGCUACCUGCAAAACGGACUCGUAUUCCGUCCCAUGCCACUGCACGCUGCGUUGCCACGGACGUGCUUCCCACAAUUUGUGUCAAAAAAACAUCUUAUAUUUUGAUACAAAUAGAGAAUAAACCAUCUGAUUUUUAUUUGGAUGUGUCUAGGUCUCAGUCGACUGAGACUAACCAAAUACUCCCUCCGUCCCGAAAAACAUGUCGCAGGGGGUUUCAAAUUUAAACUACCGCAUUUUUUUACAAAAACACCCUCCCGCAACUUUGAAUUCUCUCAAAGCAACCCGCACGCAGGCCCAAGUCGCGAAAAGAUCCUGCCGCCGGCCGGGCUCCAGGCCAGUGGAGCUCCUGCCGCUGCUGCCGGUGGAGCUCCUGCCGCUGCUGCAUCUUAUCCUGCAGAUUCUCCCCUGCUGCCGGCCGCUGCUUCCGCACAGGAGCUGCCCCCACUCCAAAAACGAGCUCGUCUCCUCCCCCUCCAGCAGCGGCAUCCGCACAGGGGCUCGGCGCCGUCGCACCUCCUCAGUCCUUCCCGAGCAUACCAAGAGCUCUGCCUCGCCGAUACCUAUGCCCUCCUUGAGCCACGCUUACUGGGAAGCCGCUGAUCGACGGAAUCGAUCCCGUCUCCUCCCACUCCGGCCGCCGAUUCCGCACACGAGCUCAGCGCCGUCGCUCAUCCUCUAGUUUCCCCGAGCAGCUCAACAGCUUCAGGGUGAUCUUCUGGUCCUCCAGGUCACUUUUCUCCUGUUGAUUGGUUGCUGGUUCGCUUGGCCGUGGUGGUCUGCCGCUUGCUGCCAUUGGAGCUCGUCAGUAAGCUCCUCUGGUGACCAAAAAUCGGCGCCGCUGCCAUUGGAGUAUCACCCACGCUCGGGUGCGUCUACGCUCGCCCAUGCUGCAUGCUUGCUGGUGGAGCUCGUGCUCGUGCUGCCUGCUGUUCUCCGCUGUUGAUCUUCUCUGAAGAAGGUACAGUACAAUCUCUGGUCUUCUGCUGUUCUUCCCCUGUCGAUUGAUCUGUAGCGACUGUUGUUGUUGUAAUCUCUUCGUCAUGCUGUUGCUUGUUGUAUCAAAAAUUAACUCGUAAGAUAUGUGACUUAGAUCAGUCAUUCAAGAUAACACUAUUUAUGCAUGGCACAUGAGUACAGAGUUCAACAACUAACAAUAGUAAGGAAAAUUUCAAUUUAGCAUGGAUUAGUAAUCUCUACCACUGGAGGAGUACAAAGUUCAACAGCUAACAAUAGUAAGGAAAAUUUCAGUUUCGACAUCAGUAUAAACAUCAAGCAAAACUCUUGCAAAUUUUCAGUUUCGACAGUGUCAAAGCAUACAGGCGCUAACGUGCACCUGCAGUAAGUUCUGAUCAGUUAUCUUUCGAUAAGGGCCGAAACCCAGUUUCUUCACCAAGUUUUGAACCAGAAAACUAACUUACAGAAAUGCGGCACGCAACUACAGAAACUAAUGAGACAAGCAAGGCCUUUGCUAAUCCCAUAUCAUCAAUAGAUGAUAUGGUAUGAGAUUAUCUUCUACUGCAAUUGCAAUCUAGCUUUAGUAAAAAAGGCCUACAUGUUGUAAUCAAUCUAGCUUUAUCAACUACUGCAAUUGCAAUUGCAAUCCCAGGUUGUAAGAGUAUAUAAGGGGUGUUUUCACCAACUUACAGAGAGUAUUUGAAAAUUUGGUCACUACAGGACCACUACACUACUCCAUGUCACUACUGUUCAGAAACAAACUUGGCUGAAAAUUCAGUCAUUCUAAAAUUCUAAAAUGCAUUAACAAAUUUUGCUUUAGUUUGACUUCAGAAAUCAAAAUCUAGGAGGAAAUCAAGAGGAGCUGGAGACUUUUGGCAGAACAUGGACACCCGCACAAGGGCUUGUAACUAGUCCAGCUGUUUUCCAUAUAGGAUGGUCAAUCUCCACAAAAUAAACAUCUUAUGAGAUAUACACCGAUCUUUUACACAUUAGUUAAUAAAGUAUGCUGACAGUCAUAAUUUUGUUAAAUAUCUAAACUCGGCCAUAAUUCAGUUGAACAUGCAAGGAAACAUUUAACUUGUGAUGUCAGUGAAAACAUCACCAGACUGUUAAAAUUCAAUUAAAAGAUCUGUACCUUGAUGCAGACUAAAGGGAGUAGGUUAACUGAUUUGGUCCUGUGGCUGGUCAAACUGUACCAUGCCAAAGUAUUUCCUGUAGAGAGAAAAAAAUAAGCAAACAUAAAUUGAUUGGAAUGUGUUGUAGUUUCACUAGGAGUAGUUUAUAUGCAAAGGUAAUAAAUCAGUUUUGAUUCUAUUGACAGGAGUAUAUUUUUCUUGACACUUUUCUACCAUAGGCAUGGUACUAUGAGCAAGUAAAAUUCAGCAAAACUACUCUAACUAGAGUAAAAUUCACAUGGAAUUAUCUGGGUUAUUUAGAUUAACUAGAUUAAUUUGGAUUAUUUGGAUUAAUUUGGGUGAUUUGGAUUUAUUUGAAUUAUUUGAAUUGAUUUGGAUUAAUUUGGGUUAUUUGGAUUUAUUUGAAUUGAUUUGGAUUAAUUUUAGUUAUUUGAAUUAAUUUAAAAUAUUUGGAUUUAUUUGAAUAAUUUGGAUUAAAACUAGAACAUGUAUUGUCAAUACAGGUUUGGACUUGUACUGUCAAUAGAAAAAAUUCAUGGACGCCACCGAGCUCGUCCUGGAUAGGAUCCUCUACAAGCCAAUCAACCAAACAGAUAUUUAUUGUUGAUUAGGAAAAGAAGAGCAGCAGCGAGUAGCAGGAAAAGAAGAGCAGCAGCAGAGAGAGGUGCAGAGCAAGGGAAAGGAGCGUUUGAUAAGGAGAACUGCAAGAUUUGAUAGACAUAAUGUCCUGUUUUUUUAGUAGGAGCACAUUUCACAUACAUUUUGGAGUACUCUUACUAGCUUCUUGUUAAAUCUGAAUGAAUGAUCUGUCCUGAAUAUUGUAUAGAGAACAAAUUUAUUUGGAUUAAUUUGAAUUAAUCAGAAUAAUUUGAAAUUUUUGGUCACUACAGGGCAACUACACUACUAUACAUGGCCACUACACCGCUCCAUGUCGGUGCUGUUCAGAAACAAACUUGGCUGAAAAUUCAGUCAUUCUAAAAUUUGCUUCAGUCAGUGUACUCCUAAAAUUCAGUAAACAACUACUCUGCAUACAUGCUGGAGAUCAACAUCAACAGCUACUCUGCAUAUUUUCCAAGAUGUUUCAAAGAUAUGCACACUACUGUACUUGACGGAGUAUGUCUAACAUUUGUAGCUACACUCAUUUAUAAGAAGAACACAUUUUUUCAGAAUAAACCUAAAACUUCACUGGAACUAGACUUCACUGAUAAGAAUAAACCUGAAGGACAGGAAACUUCACUUGAACUAAAACUGAAUUUGUGAUACACACAACAAACAGAACUUUUUUGCAUCUAAGAAAACCUCAUGGAUUGUCCUAAAUAAUCCGUGUCAAUAAUUAUGGUACUAACUGAUUGGCAACAGUUUCUUUUGGUGCACAAUUCAAACAGAAAAAUGACAGUACAAGCAGAUCUUCGGUACUCCAAUUUCUUUCAGUUUUGACAGCUUAUUUUCAGUUUCAAAAUGGAAAAUACACUUCUUCAGCACUCUAAUUUUACAAACUGAAAAUAGCAGCACCAAGAAUUGAGUAUAACAUGAUUGUUGUGAAUUGCCAAAUACUCCUACAGGUCAACAUGUGUAUCAACUUUAUUGGCAAUAAUUUUGUUGAUCAACAUGAACUACAGGUCACUGUUAUCCUUUGUACUAGAGCAUCUCUGUAUAAUACAGACCUGAGUAUAACAAGAGCAUCAACUACCAAAGCAUGAACUUGACUACAUCUUCAAAUAAUUACUGAAGCACAUGAACUUGAGUUUACUCAGAAAAGUGGUACCUUUUCACUCAGAGUUGAUUUGUUAGCAAUCGAUUUACUAGCUAGCUCGUCUUGUUUGGCAGCAAUAAUCUGGAUCUGGAGCGCAGGGAAGAAGAAAAUAAGCUGCAGAUCUAAUCGAGGAGGAGGAGGUGGGGAACAGCAAGGAAAUCUGGUCUUACGUGGAGCGUGCGGGCAGCGAACUCGACGCCGAUGGUGGACUUGGAGUCGAGGCAGAACUCCUUGCGGGUGAUGUGGGAGAGUAGAUUGGACUUUCCCACCACAGAGUCGCCAGUCAGCACCGCUCCGGCGAGCACCUCCACCUUGAGCGCGUAGCCGUCCGAGGAGUGGAAAAGGGGCACCUAUGCUUUCUAGUGCUCUGGUCGACGGCGUCCUGGAGGGGGCGAGCUUCGUGGUCGAAGGCGGGGAGGUGGUUGACGAUGGACAGAGGCGGAAGGAGAGCGAGGACUCCGGACAGUGGUCUCCGAAAAAUCGAACCUUCACGGCCGGCGAGCGGAGGGGAACGAGGCGGCGGGCGGAGAGGNNNNNNNNNNNNNNNNNNNNNNNNNNNNNNNNNNNNNNNNNNNNNNNNNNNNNNNNNNNNNNNNNNNNNNNNNNNNNNNNNNNNNNNNNNNNNNNNNNNNNNNNNNNNNNNNNNNNNNNNNNNNNNNNNNNNNNNNNNNNNNNNNNNNNNNNNNNNNNNNNNNNNNNNNNNNNNNNNNNNNNNNNNNNNNNNNNNNNNNNNNNNNNNNNNNNNNNNNNNNNNNNNNNNNNNNNNNNNNNNNNNNNNNNNNNNNNNNNNNNNNNNNNNNNNNNNNNNNNNNNNNNNNNNNNNNNNNNNNNNNNNNNNNNNNNNNNNNNNNNNNNNNNNNNNNNNNNNNNNNNNNNNNNNNNNNNNNNNNNNNNNNNNNNNNNNNNNNNNNNNNNNNNNNNNNNNNNNNNNNNNNNNNNNNNNNNNNNCCGGCGUCGGAGAAGAGUGAGGAAGGAGACAGAGGACCGCGAGUUUGGUCGGGAAAACCACGAGGGCUAAAUUGCAAAAAUGCCGCCGCGACAUGUUUUUCGGGGCGGAGGGAGUAUCAAUCAAGUGAUUUAUCUCUACUAUUAAAGGGGGAUCGAACGUCGUGAUGGUUCGACCUCCCCUCGACCACCUCGUUCGAUCCCCACCUAUCUUCACACGCUCACGCCGUAAAAAAAACUGGAAAAUCAGAAGAGAAAAAGGCACCCACGAAGCCACGACCGACGCCCUCGUCGCUCGAUAAAAGGAAAGAGAAAAACUGAAUAGGAAAGAAAAAACCCACGUACACAAGCCCCACCUCCCACGCCCCAUCUUUCCCUAACCCCUCGCCCCAAUCCCGCGACUCCUCCCGAGAAAGAACGCCACCGCCGGCCUCCUCCAAUCUCGCGACUCCUCCGGAGAAAAAAUGUCGACGCCGGCCUACUCCUUCACCGCUCAACUUGGCAUCAACAGCCCUCUCACACGCAGUCUCUCUUUUCCUCGCCAUAGACCCCUGCUACGCCUCCGUCCUCAAUCCCUUUGCUCCGGUUUCCACGGCAGAGAACGAAAUCGGCACCUGCGAUAGCGCCCUCACUAAGGCUUAUGGCCCGGCUCCACCUGUCCUCUCACCGGAGCAAUCGGCGAACCAAGACCGCCGACCCGCGAGACGUGCGUACAACAGCUCGGCUAGACGACCAAAGGCAAGGUUGGAUAGCCCCACCUCGACCACUUCAUCCCACCGACUAUCGUCAUCGUCAUCGUCCUCGUCCUCCACGUGAACGACGACCUCGAGCGGUAGCACAUCGCAGCCUGCGAAAUUAGAUGGAGUGGCAGAUCCGUGCCCUAUCCGGUAAAUUUCACGAUAACCAUUAUCUUCCUUCAAACGCUAAUUUCAGACUGGUCACAAUCUUCAGCCAGAGUAUAUUUCUAGACUAUUAGACGCCAUCAAUUUAACAGUUGGUGAAAGGUCACCCAUUUUUAUGUUUCUGCUUCCAGUUCCUGCCAUAAAAAAUGUGAUAUGUUGUUCCUUGCAUGCAUGGUAAUUGUUUGCAGGGCAGUGUUUAUAUGACAUUGCGUAGAACAAGAAUCAACAUAACUCCUUUCUAAUGGUUCUAUGCAACAAAAAAAUUCCUUCAACAAUGUCGGUUUGUUUAAUCCAUCGCCGGAGUACAAACCCAUCGAAACUGUAAUGGUAGCAGUGGAGGUGGCCGCGUCGGAGCAGGUCCUACAUUGUUCAUGGAUGGAGACGAUGGGUGGCGCGACCAUAAAUUCUCCGACGAGGCUUCAAGUCACUUGGAUAGGAACGUCAUUAGAGGGCAUGCAUCAGUUGUAGGAACGAUCUAAGGCAACAAAAUUCAUAGGGAAAGCAUCAGCUGACUGACAAUAGCUAGAAUGGCGUGCACACAAGACCAAAUAAUCAAAAUUCUGCAGUUUUGCCUUUGCUGCCGGCCCAAGCAUCAUCACCUUCUGGACUGAAACCAAAGGCAUGGGUCUGCAGUACCCAUUGUCCAAGUCCACAACAAUCAAAGGGGGAUCGAACGUCGUGAUGGUUCGACCUCCCCUCGACCACCUCGUUCGAUCCCCACCUAUCUCCGCACGCUCACGCCGUAAAAAAAACUGGAAAAUCAGAAGAGAAAAAGGCACCCACGAAGCCACGAUCGACGCCCUCGUCGCUCGAUAAAAGGAAAGAGAAAAACUGAAUAGGAAAGAAAAAGCCCACGUACACAAGCCCCACCUCCCACGCCCCAUCUUUCCCUAACCCCUCGCCCCAAUCCCGCGACUCCUCCCGAGAAAGAACGCCACCGCCGGCCUCCUCCAAUCUCGCGACUCCUCCGGAGAAAAAACGUCGACGCCGGCCUACUCCUUCACCGCUCAACUUGGCAUCAACAGCCCUCUCACACGCAGUCUCUCUUUUCCUCGCCAUAGACCCCUGCUACGCCUCCGUCCUCAAUCCCUUUGCUCCGGUUUCCACGGCAGAGAACGAAAUCGGCACCUGCGACGGCGCCCUCACUGAGGCUUAUGGCCCGGCUCCACCUGUCCUCUCACCGGAGCAAUCGGCGAACCAAGACCGCCGACCCGCGAGACGUGCGUACAACAGCUCGGCUAGAAGACCAAAGGCAAGGUUGGAUAGCCCCACCUCGACCACUUCAUCCCACCGACUAUCGUCAUCGUCAUCGUCCUCGUCCUCCACGUGAACGACGACCUCGAGCGGUAGCACAUCGCAGCCUGCGAAAUUAGAUGGAGUGGCAGAUCCGUGCCCUAUCCGGUAAAUUUCACGAUAACCAUUAUCUUCCUUCAAACGCUAAUUUCAGACUGGUCACAAUCUUCAGCCAGAGUAUAUUUCUAGACUAUUAGACGCCAUCAAUUUAACAGUUGGUGAAAGGUCACCCAUUUUUAUGUUUCUGCUUCCAGUUCCUGCCAUAAAAAAUGUGAUAUAUUGUUCCUUGCAUGCAUGGUAAUUGUUUGCAGGGCAGUGUUUAUAUGACAUUGCGUAGAACAAGAAUCAACAUAACUCCUUUCUAAUGGUUCUAUGCAACAAAAAAAUUCCUUCAACAAUGUCCGUUUGUUUAAUCCAUCGCCGGAGUACAAACCCAUCGAAACUGUAAUGGUAGCAGUGGAGGUGGCCGCGUCCGAGCAGGUCCUACAUUGUUCAUGGAUGGAGACGAUGGGUGGCGCGACCAUAAAUUCUCCGACGAGGCUUCAAGUCACUGACAAUAGCUAGAUUGGCGUGCACACAAGACCAAAUAAUCAAAAUUCUGCAGUUUUGCCUUUGCUGCCGGCCCAAGCAUCAUCACCUUCUGGACUGAAACCAAAGGCAUGGGUCUGCAGUACCCAUUGUCCAAGUCCACAACAAUCGUAGGUGUUGGUGUUGCAAAACUGCAGGGGCCCUCAUUACAAAAUAGACUCACUCUGGGCUCAUCUUAGAUCAGUGCUUAUUGUAUCUCCUUUGCUCGGUCUUUAUUUGGUUCUAAUGGAACAACUUCCAGUACAAUAAAAGAAGAAAGAAUCAUCCCUUGACUUGCAGGUUCUCCAUGCAAGGGCAAACAAAUGUUUUGAUACAGAACAACAGUUGUAAGUGCUACUGUUUGUAUGCCCAAUUUGGUUAUCUCUUAUUUUCUGUAUGACUAUAUUAUCGUUGUAUUAAUAUUUAGGUGGAAAGUGGAAUUAAGCGAGGUCUGAGUGAUCUUUGAAUUGUUAUUUCUCAUAUGGUUUCUCCUCUUCUCUCUACUUGAUUUAUUAUGUACACAACUUCUUUUGUUUCCUUAAGGAACCAUAUAUGAACCAGUACGUACAUAACUCAUUUAGCGUGUUAUGUCUCUACAAAUAAUUUAUUACCUUUGUUUUUACACCUAUUUGUUUCCUGAAUAACUAAUCCAAUUCUGUUUUCACCUUCCGACCACGGGAUAUUGGACAUGGCAUUAUGACCCUGCUCCUGAUUAUUCAACCAACAAUACCCGCCUAAUCAUUUUAGGAGAUAAUUGCAUGGCUGUAACCAUGUAGUCAUGUUGGAAUCUUCCAAGUGUGAAGAAAUGUUAAUGCAUCUGCAUACACAGAUGAAGCAUAGUUGCUUACAUUUCAUCUCCUAUAAUUAGGUCACAACAGCAUAACACUGUGCAUGUGAGGAUUACAUUUUUCUUUCAAAGAAGAAGAUCCAUGGGAAGUGUUUCGGCUUAUGGCCAGUGUGAAAAUCAUCGCCUCGUUGUCAUUAGCCGAUUACCAGCUUUCGACAUGUAACAUUUGUCCAGAUAGUUUCCAACAUGUAAUAUUUUCCCAUAUAGUUUUCACAUGUAACAAUUUGCUGGAGAGCUUUCAACAUGUUUUCAGUAGCACAUGUUGGAAACUAUCUGGGCACCAUAGUGUUACUCCUGGAGGCUUAACUUUUGCAAGGCAUGUAUCUAUUCUUUCUUGUUUUGUCUGUAGAUGAUAGUCCACUUAUCCUUUUGCUUUUUACCUAUUAUAGAUCUGUCUGUGACACAAAUAUAUCAAUCUGGUUUAUGUUGUGGUUGCUUCCUAACUAAAAGGUCUUGAAUUUGAUUCUAAAAAUGUUGGAAUUUGCAGGCAUGGUCAUAUGGAUUUUAGCUCAGACCAUGCUUGAUACUUUAACAUUAGUAGCUAAUAUCUUUGGAACUUACACUUCUAAAAAUCUUCCAUGAUUUUAGGCUAGCCCAAACGUCCAUUUACUUUGGUUCCUUACUUAUAAUUAAAAAUCAUAAUUGGAUUGUGAGCUAUUUGGACAAGAGAAACUGCCAUUGGUGUUGUUAUCGAGCUAUCCAGUGCAUGGCACUGAGAAUUUCAACACGAGGGCAAAAAGGGAGGCAGUGAGAGGAUUUAAGGUGGACAACAACGGGAGUGAACGGACCGUAGCUAGAAGACAUGGACGGGAUGGUGCCGUCAUCAUGUCCUCCAACUUCUAGAAAAGGAGAAAGUGGAUCGGUGUGCUCCGAAAUUAGAAGUGCAUUGUUAUUAUUUUUUUAAAGUAUCCUUGUAUUUGCAAUUUGUUUGCUGGAAGCAACUCUGUAAUAGUUUAAUAAGUGAUAAGUAGCUAUUUGCUUUGCUUUUACUUCCAUAUGGUGUCAAAGCACAUUUCAAGUUGAAGAGGAAUCCUAAUGUUUACUGUAAGAUGAUUUUUUGCACACAUGCAUUUUUAUGUCAAUUUGGAUGUGCAUUAUGUUUAUGCGAUCGGCAAGGAAAGAAACUUGACUGUCAUGAGGCGAUUGCCCGUACAAUGGUAGCAAGUUUAAGCCGAUAUUUGUCCCGAUGCAUUCGUAAGCACAUGAUUGUGAAUUACAAUGACAUUUUUAUCAAUGUCCCUAUACAUUUUUUUGUCCCGUAGCAACGCAUGCCAUUUUUAUCAACGCCGUACAAUGGUGGCAAGUUUAAGCCGAUAUUUGUGCAGAUGCAUCCGUAAGCACAGGCUUGUGAAUUACAAAAACACUUUUAUCAUUUUUCCUACACAUGAUUUUUUUUUGUCUCGUAGCAACGCAUGCCAUUUCUAUCAACGUUCUUAUACAUUAGUUUCUUGUCCCGUAGCAACGCACGGGCAUUCAACUAGUAGUAUAUAAGAAGGAAAAAACUGAAAAGAAAAUUUAUGUAUAAAUCUUCAUGCAAAAUCAAAGGAAUAUAGCAUUGGCCGAGACUAAUUAAGUCUCUAAGACAUAACGUAGCAGAACUGUUUUUAUUUCUAGUUUGUAGAUGAUAGAUGCUUAAUUAGACACUAUUGUAGAGACAAGCAUUAUAGUGCUUUAAAAACUUAAUUUAUUUUAUUAAACACAUUCCUAAGCAUUGCCCAAGGCCUAAUCAAAAUAGAGCAUAAAAUUGGAGUAAUACUGAAAGUUGAAAUUAUUCGAAAUUCCAAAAAAAAUGCACAAGUUAUAUUAUUUAUAGGCACAAUGUUCUGUUUGUUCCAGUUGCAAGUUUUAGUCUUUCUAGGCGCAAUCUCAAUCGCGGACAUUUUUCAAGUAAUACUGAAAUUCAAAAUUAUUCAAAAUUUCAAAAAAAAGUGCACACACCUACAUAUUUUUCGAUAGAUAAGUGAGAAAGGUUUAAGUACAGAAAAGCCAUCGCAAUAACGAGGCAAAUCUACAGAGCAGAAGAAGGCAACUACCGCCCAUCCAACGGUAAUUGCACUGACGCUCUUGCUAAAAUCAGCCUCAAAGUUACUUAUCGAAAUUGCUGCUACGAUCACUUGGCCAUCCCCGAUUGUAUCCAUAGACAUCCAUGGUGGCAGCUACUCCAUAAUAUCCACCGUCACUGCUUUUCAUAUAAAUAGCCUCCUGAAAUUAAUACGUAACGCUAGAUUAGUCAGUAAAUAUUCUCACAAAAAAAAUAUUAGUCGUAAAUAGAGGGCCAAGCAAAGGAACUAGCGUUUGGCUGAUUAGUGCCAACAUGCUUGGGUGGGAGCUCAAUGUAUGGGAGCUGAAGAUGAACGGAGCUCAGUGAACGUGAUAAACUUGAUGCUUUCGCUUCCAUGCUGGCACCCGCAUUUAAACAGUUACUAUUGAAAGGAGGGAGUAUGAAGUUUGAACUUUCAAAACAAGAUGAAAACUAGCACACCAAUCAGCGGUUAGAAGAUGAUACGUCCAGUGUAUCUAAGCCUGAACUGUACGCCGACCGACGCAAUGUUCCGUCUGUUCCAGGUGAAGUUUUAGUCCGCCUUUGGUUAAAAGAAAAGUUUCAAUCACGGACAUACAUGGUAGCAGCAUUUAUAGACAUGACCUGAACGAUAAUAGAAUCCUAACUUAAACCUAAAGACGCCAACAAACUUGGUACGCCAACAAACUUGGUAUAAUCAAACACAAGCUCUACAUGGCUCCAUCUACCCAGGGCACUCCAUCAGGGAUGCCGCCGCCACUAUCUAACACAGGACCGAUCCAAUAACAUUAAUAAAAAUGAAAUUCAAUAAAAUUCCUUGUUUUGUAGAAAAAAAAUUAAAGUACAAAGGAUUAUACUUUCUGUAGGCUAACAAAUAUCAUAAAAUUUGAGUAAAACUUAGAGACAACCGUGGUAAACAUUGAGAAAACAAAGUGACAGAAAACAUAAGAGAAAGAAAUCCAAGGAAAAAAAUAGAAACAACAGGACCGAUCCAGCAAUUAACACCACAACAAAAAAAAGCAUAAACACAGAAUCAAAGUAAUAUAAAGGUACAGUAGAAAUACCAACAAACUAAUAAUAUACUUAGACGUGAGACAUCAUAACCCUUGAUCCACUACCACGAAUGUUGCAACUCGCACGGAAUAACUCCGACCACUCGGAAGCAAAACAAUAACCACCACAACCUCAAGUCUCAGAUAACACAGACACGGUAUAAUAAGCAGCAGGCUUCGCCGCCUCUGCAACAGAACAACUGACUGUUUAGUCGACCUCCUCGAUCUU
This 72403-nucleotide long non-coding RNA is filed under the name Triticum aestivum (bread wheat). RNAcentral's name for it is "long non-coding RNA (TAES_LNC006827)". The record is from RNAcentral. Lineage: Eukaryota; Viridiplantae; Streptophyta; Magnoliopsida; Poales; Poaceae.